RNAcentral lists this long non-coding RNA (60969 nucleotides) under Lactuca sativa (garden lettuce). RNAcentral's name for it is "long non-coding RNA (LSAT_LNC001527)". The record is from RNAcentral. Lineage: Eukaryota; Viridiplantae; Streptophyta; Magnoliopsida; Asterales; Asteraceae.
AGGUCUCAAUCAGCGUGGUCUUAAUAGACCCGAACAUCUCUGGUAUCUCUGCCCUGAUGGCCGCAGCCACCUCCUCAUGGAUGAUCCGGCGGAUCUCCUCAUCACUGGUCUCACUGCUCUCAGGCAUCAAACGUGUCCUCACCAUGAUCUACCUCUGAAAUACAACAUACGAUAAAUUAGAAUCCAUUCGAGCAUACUCACACUCGACAACUCAUUCCUCCUUGAUCCUUGGUAUUCCAAAGAUUCUUACUUGGGCUGUACACCGCUCCGGUGCUUUCAGUAGUACGGGCCCAAUACUACUGUCCGCACCGUAUCAGAAUACACCCCAAGUCCUCCUCUUCGGAUCCCAAAUUCCAAGUACUCUAUCAUGCAUAGACCACUCUCUAAUAGAUCUCUCAUAAGCCCCUCGCUGCUACCUACUCACUCUCAAGCAUCUCAUAGCAGCUCACCUCUUCCUAGGCUAAGGCAUCACAAAUCAGGCCACUCUAGUCCUAAUAGGAAUACCUAGCCUACUCUAGCAUGCGAAUACAUCAUAUCAAUAUCAAUAUCACAUAACAUGAGGGUAUUUUGGGAAAUCACCGUUCGGGCGCGGACUGAUCGUACACACAACUCUGCUCUGCGUUUUUCCAAAAAUCUUUUACUCUUUUUGAAAAUACUUCUCAAAUCCUCAGUUUGAGUUCAAAUACGCCCGAAGGUGUACUCGAAUCCCUCAAACCAAGGCUCUGAUACCAACUUGUAACACCGUGAAUUUCAAAAUAAUUUUUCGCAAAUUAUAAAAACAUUUCUCAUUUAAUUUUCAUAAAAACAUUAAGUUUAAAUCCCAAUUCACAUCAUACAAAAUCCCAAGAUCAUAUAUAUAUCAAAAAUCCCAUGCGUGUGUACAGAUCAAGCCGGCGCCUUCCCACGGUCAUCGCUAGUACCUAAAACAACAACACUAACACUGUAAGCACAAAGCUUAGUGAGUUCCCCAAAAUACCACAUAAACAUAUAUUAGCCACUCGAGGCUAUAACUCUAUGGGUCCGUGCACCCAAGCUCUGUGAACCCUCAGGUUCUAACUCUGGGAACCUUCCGGUUCCAACUCUAUAAACAUGCACAACAUAAAUCACAUAGACAUCAUGCAGUACAACACAUAGCAUACACAUAACAUACACAUACUCUGACACAUAACUCUGAUUACCUACUCAAGGUAAAGUAUAGUGAGAAGACUCACCUCGUGUAUCUUGAUAACUCGCGAAUCCUGAAAAUCACUCGUGCUCGAUCCUCCAAGCUAUAAUCCUCCUAUAACAUCAUAUAUCUCUUAAUUAACACUUUUACCACUAAGGCUGACUGCCCCUAUCAAGUCAGCACUAGUCAACUCUGGUCAACGGUCAACAGUCAACUUUGACCGGACUCGGCGAGUGCACUAGGGCGACUCGUCGAGUCUAUACGUAUUCACCAACUCUCUAGGAUUAUCUUUUGACACGUCGAGUACUCCCCUAACUCGACGGGUUCCACCUGGCAUGAAUCGCGGGGCCACCACGACUCGACUCGCCGAGUCUCAAGAACAACUCGGCGAGUCCCAGCUCGACUCAGUCCAACUGUCAACCCUCUCUAACUCUCCCUGACUCACUGAGUCGACCCUUAACUCGGCAAGACCACUCGCUGAGUGGUUAAGGACAAUCUUCAUGCUACUCGCCGAGUCUGUUCUUCAGACUCGGCGAGUCCAUGCCAUGCAUCAACUCAAACUAGCUUCUGAGGUCAGAUCCGCACCAUCCACUCAUAGAUCUGGCCCUCCUAAGCUUAUUCAUCACGUAAAGUUCGUAUCUUGGUUACCAUACAACAUCUACAAGGCUCUUUUUGGAGAAAUAACCUCUAAAAUGGCAACCCUAGCCUCCAACCCAAAAAGGGGCAUGACUUUAGGGACUCUCUGGACCUACUAAGGUCCAGAUCUAAGCACCAUAUCCCCAUGGGACCUCUCACACUUCCAAUACAAAGCAAAUAUGGCAUGAAGAAACCCUAUAUUUGACCAUAUCAACAAAAAUACGGAAAUAAGCUCAGAAUGAUACCUCAAGAAGCCUCCUCAGAUGAAAUGAAAGAAGAUCCCAGCUCCCCAACUCUUCUAGCUUGACUUUCCUCUUCCUUUCUUGCAAAAACACACAAAUUUGGUGAACAAUAGCCUCUUAUCUCACUCACACGAAUCCCUCAGCUGCUCAGGUGCUCUCAGGAUCCAGGUAGCCUCAAUGAAGGGCCAUAAGGUCCUUUAAAUAGGGCUUAGGACCGGGAAAUUAGGGUUUCAUUAAACAGCAAGGACUCGCCGAGUCCGGGCGCGAACCCGCGUCCUGAACCACGAUCCUACUCGGCGAGUUUGAGCUCCAACUCGCCAAGUCCCCUCACAAAACUCCAAAAAUAUAAGCAUAAAAGAUACCUGGAAAUCCGGGCUAUUACAUGGGCCUUCUGGAGAGCCCAUUUAUUAUUGGGCCUUGGUAAGCCCAAUGGGUUUUAGGUCAUUGAUGGGCUGGUUAGUGGACUACCUUUAGACCUAAUGAGCAAGAGUUGAGAAUUAGUUCCUAAUUGGAAUAAUUGUGGGUUUGGCACAGAGUUAGAGGUCGGUGCGUGACAGCAACGUUUAUAGGGACUGUUCAUCAUCCGAGGUGAGUCUUCUCACUAUACUUUACCUAGAGUGGUAAUUAUGUGUGACCAGAGGGUCUUAUGUGCUUGCCUGAGUUAUGCAUUUUAUGUGUGAUAUGUGUUGUGUGCUAUAUUAUGUGAUAUCUAGACCGGACCGGAGGGUCCAACGAACUGUGCUAUAUUAUGACCGGACUGGGGGGGUCCAAAAAACUAUGAGACCAGAGGGUCCUCACUUAGACCGGACCGGAGGGUCCAACAAGUACUGAAACUGGAGGGUUCUCACCCAGACCGGACCAGAGGGUCCAACGAGCCAUGGGACUGGAGGGUCCCACUGAGACACAUCGGACCGGAGGGUCCUACGGAGUUACAACCUCGAGUGGCUAAUAUGUGUAUGUGGUAUUUGAGGAACUCACUAAGCUUCGUGCUUAUCGUGUUAUGUGUUAUGUGUUUCAGGUUCUUAUUAGGAUCGCGGGAAGGCGGCGACUCGAUUGUACAAACAAGAGAAAAGAGUCAUGAAUGAGGAUCCUGGAUUUUGAUAAUUACUUUUGAAAAAUAUUUUGAAAUAUGUUAUGACAUCGACACUUAAGAUUUUGAGAAUUAUUAUAUGUGAUGUUGGUAAUUUAAAAUCGAAAAUGUUGUUUGAAAAUUUACGGUGUUACACCAUUCAUGGAUGCAAGCAUUUUGGGGUUAGGACUUCAGAUCUGGAAUCUUGGAGGGACUCCAUGGCAUAAAGGUGCCAACUUUAUGGCCAUGUGAGUCCCAUGUAACUUGUGAACCUCAUUUUAAGGCAUUUUGAGCUAGAUAACCCAUGCAUGAAUGUAAAGUUUGUAACUUUACGUGUUAUAUCGACCCUAGGAGGCAAGAUCUACGUUUUGGAUGCAUUUAUCCCUACUAAAAUCGAUUGUAUGGAUUUAGACUUUGGGGAACUCGACGAGUCGUUCUUAGGAUUCGACGAAGUGGGUCGUGGUUCUCCAACCUUUACUGUUAUUGAGCAAACUUGUUGAGUAUAGAAGAUGACUCAGCAAGUUGGACAUGUUUAAGGACUAGAAGAUCAAAGAACUCGACGAGUCCAAGGAUGGACUCGGCGAGUUGAUGAGAAAAUGUCCCGACUUGUAUGAAGGAGAACUCGACGAGUCCAAGGAAGGACUCGGCGAGUUCAAACAGAAAGUCCCGAUUCUGUCGUAAGGAGAAACUCGAUGAGUUAUAGGGUAACGCGAUGAGUUAGAUCAUGAGUACGAGAUUCUAUGAAUUAUGGGACUCGAUGAGUUGACGAACCAACUCGGCGAGUCGAGUCAACCAGAAUGUUGACUUGGACCACAAGGUUGACUUUGACCAGGAUGUUGACCUUUGACUUGACCAUUAACUAGAGUUGAUGCUUAAAAGGGUUAUAAGUUUGAAAGAGUAAUUUAAAGAGAUUUUAUGUGUAGGAUUUUGAGGAGAGUUGAUCCCAACACCGAGGACAGUUUAGUUACUACACAACAUUGAGGUGAGUUACCUUCUAAUAGAAGUGGGUCUAAGGCCACAAUGCCGACCCACUAGUAGGAGUCGUUUGCUAGAUGAUUGUGUAUGACACUAUCUGUUAGGUUUAUGUGCUAGUAUGGUAUGACGUUAUGUGAUAGUGUUAGUAAGGGGGGAUAGUCCUUGUAUCAGUCGAAAGGACCAUAGAGGUAGGUCGGGCACCCCAGUAUGCCUGACAGUAUGAUUACGUUAUGUUAUUAUGUGAAAGUGGUAUAGGUGAAAUAUUCCCCUUAACCGAUUGAGAUAGGCCGGAGGGGUAGGUCGGGCACCCGAGUAUGUCUGACAGGCGUAGGUUAGGCACCUCGGUAUGCCUAGCAGGGGUAGAUUGAGCACCCCAGUAUGCUCAGCAGGGUAGGUCAGACACCCAGAUAUGCCUGACAGUAUAUUUAUAGUAUGGUAUUUGGUAUGAUGGGGGAACUCACUAAGCUCUGUGCUUACGGUUUUCAAUUUUUGUUUCAAGUCCUUCUUCUUCGAAAGGAAAGGAGCCGACACGGUAGCAGAGCAUCACACACACAAUUUUCCGCACAUGAGAUUCUUGGGAUUUGUACUUUGACACUAUUACUAUUGAUGAUAUGGUUUUGAGACAUGUGAUCUAUGGUUUUUAUGAAAUAAAAUAACUUGGUGAUGUUUUCUAUAAAUUGUUUUAUGAAUCGUUCCAUUAAAAAUAAAUUUUUUUGCCUUAAAUUUUGGGAUGUUACAGAUGAUGUUGAUAGAGGAGACGAUAAUGAAACAACCACCAGCCACCAGGAGAAUGUGAGUUUUCAUAUUUUCAAUUAAGAUCUGACCACAAACAAUUUCUUUGGCUUCAUAUCUUAGAGUUUGCUCUAAUGAAGUCGGCUACCAGAAAAGUUUGAUGAAACAUAGACCACAAACCUAGAAGAAGGUGGAGAUAAAGGAGAUCAGGGAGGAGGUGGUUGUGGUGGAUCCUCACCAAAACAUCAUAGAUCUACAGUAGAAAAAACAUAGAUCUAGAGGCGAAUAUUGUAGAUCAGAGGUGGAAAUCUCAGAUCUGGAACCAGUUGGAGCUUGUACGAUUGGCGAGGGUAGUUCACUGGUGAUAGGAGAUCGCGACAGUACACUGAAGAUACAUUGAUGACCAUAGUUCACCGAUCGUAGGAGAUGGCGACAUUACACUAGAGAUGCAUUAGAGAAGAGAUAAUGGUCGUUCAAGAUUUGAAAUCUUGUCGUCGGCGGUGAUGAUGGUGGUGAGGUCUUUGUCGGCGGUGGUGACUGUGGUUGUAUUCAUCAGAAGUGGUUGAAGAAGAUGAGAAGAUUUUUUUUUUGUUUUUUAUUUUUGACUAACCAUGAAAAGAUAUUAUCUCGUCAAAAGUUAUAGAAUAAGUUUUAGAUAAAGAUCAUUAUGCCUUUAUUGUCUUUUUGCUAUUUAUAAAAAAUUUAAAAAAUCAAAAUAUUAAAAAUAAAUGGUUUCUAACCUUUNCCUAAGCUUAUAUACCCUUAAGGGUAUAUUCACUUUUCCCAUAUAUAUAUAUAUAUAUAUAUAUAUAUAUAUAUAUAUAUAGUUUGUAGUACGUUGUGCAACAAUGAUGGUAUAACGAGAGUAUCAACAUGAAAUUUAGAGCAAUCAAAAGUAAAAACAUAGUACAUAUGAAAGUGCAAAAGGAUGCAAUUUGGCUUUCCUCUUUUUGUCCACCGACACUAAACAGUCCCAACUGCAAAUUAAAGUAAACUAAAGUGACACAUAUUUUUGCUAGAUUGGCACCCAACUAUUAUUAUUUGUAGACAACUCAGCCCUCUUCAAUCAUUGUAAUGUAAGGCAUCUUUUAAAGCUACAUCCAAUCAUCAUAUAGCAAAAAACUAUAUUAACCUAUAGCAAAAAUAAUUACCAAAAUUAAACAAAGAAAUAUAAAUAGAACUUUUGAUGCCAAUUUUUCUUUAAACUUUCAGAAUCCAAUAGCUUGAUCUCUUCCCUUUGCUUUAUGGGUACAAAUCAAUUAUGUUCAAAUUUACAUCUAACAAUAAAAUAUUACAACUUGAACCCUUCCACUUCUCAAAUCUACACUUCCCCACCUCCAUUUCCAUUUAUCUUUCUUCUUAUCAUAUGUGGUAUGUAUACAUAUACGGUAAACUAUGAUACAACAAUAUUGGAUUUCCAUACAAUGGCAUCAAUCUUUUUGAUCGAUUUAAAAGGAAAAUUAUAACUUAAAAAAGUGGCAAAAUGGGAAAAAGAAAAAACAGAAAAGAAGCAGAAAGUUUUUUAAUGGUUGGAGAUCAAGCUGAGUCAUUUGACCCUUUUACCCUUGGUUGUAUGCCGUAAUAACUAACGUACCACUUGACGAAUUUUCUUAACCCGCUCGACAAAUCGGUGGUGGGUUUGUACCCGAAGUCUUUAUACGCUAGGCUCACGUUAGCGUGAGUGAAAGGAACGUCGCCGUUUCGUGGCAUCUUGAUCACAUGCUUCUUGGCCUUCACGUUCAAUAAACUCUCCAAUAUUGACACCAGUUUCCCCACCGUCACCGGUGACGUGUUCCCUAGAUUGUAUAUCCUCAAUUGCGCCGGACCUUUCUUCUUCCCACCCUUUCCGGUGCUUUUCUCCGCCGUAUCAAGAGCCCCUAAGCAUCCCUUCACGAUAUCGUCGAUGUACGUGAAGUCACGCGCCACCUCUUUGUUGUCGUGAGUUUGGUAAACAUUGAUUGGUUUUCCUUGAAGUAUGUCUUUAGUGAAGAAGAAGUAAGCCAUGUCUGGCCUACCCCAAGGCCCAUAAACAGUGAAGAAUCGAAGUCCGGUAAUGGAGAGACCAUAGAUGUGGUUGUAGGUGUGGGCGAUUUCCUCUCCUGCUUUUUUUGUGGCGGCGUAAAGACUGGCCGGUUGGUCGGUCCGAUCAGAUUCCGAGAACGGGUUCUCGGUGUUCAAUCCAUAAACGGAGCUAGAAGAAGCCCAGACAAUCGCCGGCUGUGGAUCUGCGUUUUUCGCGACUUCCAAGAGAUUCACGUAUCCAGCAAUGUUGGAGCUAACGUAAGACUGUGGAUUCUCCAUGGCGUAACGAACACCCGCUUGAGCAGCCAAGUGAAGGACAUGGGUGAAAGGAACAAUGUCAAAAAGCUUCGCCAACAACUCGCCGUCGUUCAGAUCUCCUUCAACGAUGAAGAUCUCGUGUUGCUUUAAGACCUUCUGUCUAGCGCGUUUCAACGACGGAUCAUAGUAAGUAUUGAAAUUAUCCAAACCCAGAACACCAUCACCGCGUUUCUUCAAAGCAAGAGAGCAGUGUGUGCCAACAAAACCUCCGGCGCCGGUGACAAGCACAGAAAACCCAUUUGGACGACGAGGGGUGGAAGAACGCCUCACCUCCUUCUCCCAUGACGCACCACUACCGUAAAACGCGGAGGAAAGAAGGUGGGAUGUGGUGUGAACAUGGUGGCCGGCGGGGGUAGGGUUAUCGGAAAGCGGAGGGUAGUUAAAGGUAAAGAAAAAGAUCAAGACUAAAGCAACCAAAAGGGUAACACGAAAAAGAAGCUUGGAGGAUGCAGCUAAGAGCUUGGUGCUAUUGACUCUUCUUAUGUAGCUGUUGUAGCGUUCAAGUUUUGUUGUUUUACUGGUGUCCGGCGGCGACGCCAUUGAUGAUGAACAGAGCUUAUUAUCAAAGAAUGGGGAUGAUAAUUGGAGCCCUGGAAGUGAAGAGUGUUGGAGGGAAGGAUAUAAAGGAGUGGGGGAGAUGGAGGGGGUGGGGCCUGUUAAGUGUUGUGUUCCGGUGGCCACUUGCUUUAUAAAUUACGACAUGCUUUUCACUCGCUUACAGGUGGAAAGCCUUUAAGAAAGAAAUAAAACUAUAUGAUAUCUGUCUAUCUGUAUCUACAUUUAUGUUUAUAUUAUUCACUAAAUAUAUAGACAUAAAAUAAACCACGCCGAAUGAUUGUGAAGUAUAUGAUAAUCAAUAACUAUUGCUAUUUUGUGAGACAAAUGUAAAAACUAAUAGUAUUUUUCAUUGUUUCAACAUAUAUCUAUCAUCAUAAAAUACUUAUAAGUUUCUUUCAAGCUUAAGAUAUUAUUAAAACGGUAUAAUGUAUGUAUAGAUACAUAAUUGCGUGACAUUGACACUAUAAAAUUAUUUGAUUUCCAUCAUGUUUCCAACCUAAAUAUGUGUCAAGGAGUGUAUAAAGUGCGAGAACAUAUGAUAUUUAUAUAACAUAUAUUUGACUUUAAGAUUCGGGAAGUAAGUUCUUGAAUUCCGUUCUAUAAUAAAGAUAUACAAGAUUAAUUCUAUUGACCACUAGCAUAUACUAGUAUUUCUUGAUUUCUAGAAAGAUCUUAAAUGAGAAAAUCAAGAUCUAAUAGGGUUAAAAAUUGGAGAAUAAAAAGAGGACAAAAAGGGUGACCAAGAAAGCUUAAGGAAGAGGUUACAAGUAAGACGAGAAGACCGUAAAGACGUGGUUAUCGUUUGUUGUGUACAUAUACACAUAUAUAUUCUUAAGAAAGAUUUUAUCAUCAUAUAAUAUAAAAAUAAAUUAGCAAUUUAAUUAUAAUGCAUGCCAAUUGAGAAUCACAAAGAUUAAGAAGAGACAUGAGGUCCUUUUCAUGCGUUGGCUGCAAACUGCCAAUAGAUCAUAGAAAUCACGAAAGGUGGAUAAAUUCGAUGAUAUAAAGGCACAUGACCUCACCGCAAUUCGCAUCUCUCAUUGAUCACACAUGGCCUUGCCAGGAGGAAUUCUAGUGUUGAUGUGUUGAUAUGCACGACUUGCUAGCAGGUUCAAGAAUGCCUUAGUAGCUUGCAUAUGAUGUUGAGCAAUAUGUUUGCGACCACCAAAUCCCACAUGGAUAUUGUAUUCCACAACAAUGGUAUCACAUUUUCCCACUAACUUACAUUUGAUUUAGUUCUCGGUUUCGGUUCUUUUCCUAGGUGACUGGUUUUGAAAAUUAGGUCUUUGUUUUUCAUUUUGUUUACUUUAUAUAUAAGUGACUAGUAUAUGUUGUUACGUAGCCUCCUUGAUACCUGAUAGCGAUUGGGUUAUCACUCUUCUAGUACACAAACAGAAAGACACGCUGCAAAAUAUAAACAAGUGCUACGUUAGAAAAUGAUACAUAAUGAUGAUCCCCGAUAUUGUUCUCCGAUACCUAAGUUAGAUUUCGAUUUGAAGUAUUGCUAAAUUGCUUAUGGUGAGAAAGCUCUACCUUUUUCAUUUGGUGAUGCUUGACUUUUGUAGGCAUUCAAAAGUCUAUCAGUUUUGGCUCUUACCUGGUUUCCUACGUAGUCCAGGUAAGGACAACUAUUUCCAUUGUACUGCUUUAUAUUUUUUUAUGGUUAUCUAAACGUUGUGUUUUUCUGGGGAUAUGUUUGCCUUAUGAUCUUUUUCCUAUGUGUGUUGCUAUUGACAUGUGGUUCAUUCUUGUAUGAUGGAGGUUACUUCUUAUUGUUGAGUUAGGAGCAUGUAGGGUCGGUAUUUACAUAUCUAGCUAACUCAAGUACACAAUUAAGUCCCCCAGUAUGAAGGGUAAAAAUGGAGCCAAAAUUUUUCCGUUUAGACUAUGAUCACUCUUGGUAAACAGACUGUUGUGCAUGACUCAAUGAUAGACUUCAUCAAAUGCGUCCAACCACUGGUUAGUCACAUCAUAAUGGUUGAUUAGAUUGCUUAAUUAAUGUUUAAAUGGUCCUUAUCUUUAUAUAUCAUAUAAUAAGAUUUUGAAAUCUUCCCUAUUUUGUACUUCUUGCCUUUUCAACUUCCUCUUUUGCCAUGGCUUUUCAUAUGUUAUCCAUUUCAUCCAGUGGUGACAGCUUUACGUUAGAUCGGUAUGUUCAUAAGUAUCGGUUAUCUAUUAUGCAUGGUGUUACGUUGCCUUUUCCUUCUUCUUCUUCCAUUCUUGAACCUCUGGCGGGCAAUGUAGGGUUUUACUUGAGACACCUUGUUUCUGGUUUAAGACUUCCUCCUAGAUCCUUUUUCAUAGAAGUACUAUAUUCAUAUGGUGCUCAUCUGAUCCAUUUGUAUCCCAAGGUUGUCUCCAAGGUUAUCACAUUUGAGGUGUUUUGUGUGUCAUCUCAUAUACUUUUGUAUGUAUCGUUGUUUCGAUAUUUCUAGCGUUUGAAGAAAUAUGGUGGCUGGUAUUCUUUUAGGAGCCAUCAUUUCCUUUUGGUUCACGGUCUUCUAGGAACAAACAUUGGAUGGAAACAAAAUUUUUGUUAGGUAGAUUUCAGUAGGGUUUGUCUUCCUAACAUCCUUAGGUCGUGCCAAAUGAAAAUGAAGAAACUCCUUUAGCUCCAAUCUUAUAUAGAUUUUUUUCUUUAUUUUCUCGAUACUACAUUAUAACGUGUUUCUUUCCCAAAGUUGUACUUUUCUUAUUUGGCAUGAUUCCUAUCUGGAAAGCUCAUGAUCAGGUGUGUUAGGUCCGAUUCUGGAUCUAAAACUAUCAAACAGACAUGGAUCAAGAGUAACACAUUAAGAUGAAUGAAUUGAGCUUGCACACGAUUAAACACAAGAAAUCGUCAGGUACAACUCAAGAGUGACCGUAAACUUCUAAAGCAACCAACCCCCAACCAAAAGACCAGCUCCUACACUAUAUAUAUACCCAUCUGGACCGCAAACUGAGUUUGCGGUCGUAAACACGUUUACGGCUGUAAACGUGUUUACGGUAGUAAACACAACAAAGUUCAAGUUAACAUAAAGUGAAAUUACAGACACAAAACAAAACACAUCACAUGCUAAGCCUAGCCCAAACCAUUUACAUGGCCCUUCAAUCUCCCCCUUGGUUUGGAGCAGGCUUGAAUUUAGUCUUUGUCGACAACCAGCACGUCAGACUUAUACAGACAGAUGCCUAGUCCAAACCAACAAAUGUUGACCUAACAGUCUCCCCCUUGGUUUGUGGCUAGCAUAGACUCAGUCUUUCUAAUCAGCAUCACCAAGGUGUGUAUCUAUCGCUUCCAAAUUCUACAAUAAGUUUGUUCUUCAAGUCAGAGUAGCCUGCUGAUAGGGAACCAAGAUUAAGCUGGAGAUCGGAGAUCUGUUUAGACUUCUGAAAGUUUUCUUCUUCAAGCUCGGAAACUCGAAUAUUGAGGUUUCCGAUCAGAACGUCUUUCUCGAUGAUCUUCUGUUUAAGAGUAGUGAUCUCCUCCUUAAGCUCUAAGAUAGAUGGGCCUGCUCCCCCUGAACUUCCUUCACCCUAUUGAUAUUCAUUUGCCACGAGGUAAAUGAUCUGAAUCUUGUUGAGCAAGAAACCUGGCAAGCCUCAAAGAGGCAACAUCAUGCGCAGGUUGUGGAGGAGAAGAACCCCCAGGAGCAGAAGAACUCCCGACUUCAAACGAAGAUCUAACAUUACUUGGUCCUUUUAGGGUCAGUUGAGUUGGUGUAGCAGCUUUGGAGGGUUGUUGGACUGGAGGUGCUUGUUCUUGGAUAAGAUCUCCCUGCCUCUGAUCAAGUCAUCUUGUUUUCACAGGAGGCUGGGAGGUUUGUGUCAGUAUCUGAUCACUCAUCAAAUGGCAGUGAGGUUGGAAUAGCAAAUGGAAGGGGAGGAAUCCUUGAAGUUGUAUCCAUAUCGGUUGAAAGGUAUCGCCCAUCUGAUCAAAAGUUGGAGAUGUCACUUUGAGAACACCACUAACUCCUUUUGUCAAUGAUCAAGCAACAAAUAAUCGCAAUAGAAUAAGAAGAUUAAAAGAAAUCAAGCUUGCACACGUUUGUAUCUGAAAAACGUCAGGUACAACUCGAUGGAACACUCUGUAAACACUAUUGCAUCGAGGUCUGCACUGUUUAACCUUAUACCAUUAUCCGCAGUCUAUAAGCUGAUCUGUGAGACACUGAACAAGCUAUACUUUAACUCAGGAGCGUGGAUGACGUUCUCAAAACUCAGCACCCCAUUUACAAGUAUACUUUAACUCAUUGAGUGAUCUUCCCUCCAUCUCCUCCCAUGAAGGAAACAUAGCCCCCAUUAAAAUUCUGAAUGACGUGCAGUUGGGAGAUGUCUCCUGUCAAUGUGCCUGGAAAAACCGUUGUCGACGUACCAAGGUUUGACGACAUUCCUCCGCAGCUGUUCCUGCACAAUGAGCGGGAUUAUUUAGAUUUGGGUACCCAGGUCAUUACAAGCCUGGGUCCACACUUUCCAACCGUAUACGUGUAACUGCACACAAUUUAAUAGUUUCAAAAGAGUUUAUGGUUGAGGUUAGAUGAAAUGAAUGCGACCGUAAACAGAGUUUACGGUAUGGGAUUUACGGUUUUGGUGUUUAUGGUUCUUGGGUUUACGGUUUUGGUGUUUACGGUUCUUGGGUUUAGGGUUUUGGUGUUUACGGUUCUUGGGUUUACGGUUUUGGUGUUUAUGGUUUCUGAAUGGACAGUAAACAGAGUUUACAGUUGUCAGUAAACUCUCAAUCAGCCUUUAAAACUCAUACUUUUCAGAUGGAAUGUUUCUUCAAAGCUCAGAACGCAAAAUCCAACAAUCAAUCGAUGAAAACAACAGCUUGAACACACAAAAUCUCGAUCGGAUGAGUUUGAUACCAGUUUACUGCUCUGAUACCAAUUGUUAGGUCCGAUUCUGGAUCUAAAACUGAUAAUCAAACAGACAUGGAUCAAGAGUAACACAGUAAGAUGAAUGAAUUGAGCUUGCACACGAUUAAACACAAGAAAUCGUCAGGUACAACUCAAGAGUGACCAUAAAUUUCUAGAGCAACUAACCCCCAACCAAAAGACUAGCUCCUACACUAUAUAUACCCAUCUGGACCGCAAACUGAGUUUGCGGCCGGAAACACGUUUACGGCCGUAAAAGUGUUUACGGUCGUAAACACAACAAAGUUCAAGUUAACAUAAAGUGAAAUUACAGACACAAAACAAAACACAUCACAUGCUAAGCCUAGCCCAAACCAUUUACAUGGCCCUUCAAGGUGUCAAUCUUAUCAGUGAAUCAUCCAGGUAGAUGAACGUUAUUCUUGUUUUUCCUUAAAUUUGUAACUUAACUAGCCAUUAUUUUUUUUAAGGAGUGCUCACCAUUAAUGUUGCUUUUAUUUACUAUGAUUGCAUGUAAUGUUGUAAGGAAGAAUAAAUUCAUGUUCAACUUGUCUUAUUAUGUAUCUGGUGAGAUUGCUCCCCAAGAUAUGGUUAUAGAAUGGGUUAUUUUCAUUAAGACUCUUCAUACAUUGUUUGAUACACCAACCAGGUUGUAAUUGCAUCUCGUCAGGUUCGGGGAGAAUAUCUUUUCUAUGGACCAACUUCUAGUUGGUGUCUACAUUCCCUUGGAUAAUGGGCUUACUCAUAUUCUUUUUUGCCAGGAUGUCGAUGUUGACCUAGCCUUCCUCCUGUUUCUAUUCCGAGCAUCAUUAUGGGUAAGCAUAAAUAGUCAUUCUCUUCUCAACAAUUUGAUGAUUUUUUUGUGUGGGAUGAUAGGUAAGUCUUUUUGAAAGACAGAUGAUUUGGUUGAACUCCAAAGUUCUUCUAGCUCAUUUUCUGACAGUAAAGUUUUCACCCCAAUUUUCCUCUCUCCCUCAUGUUUUUUUAUACUAAUGUCAUUAUUCUUAUUAUAUUAUGCAUGUUGUAGGCUCUUUUUAGUCUUGAAGUAUGUUGCAGGAGGAGUUUGACAAGGCUUGCCAGUUUAUUUCUCAUGUUAAUGACAUUCUAGCUGUUAUGAAUUGCAAGAAAUUAAAAUUGUAUGAUGGAUCUGAAUGUAUGAAGUUGGCCAGUGAGGAGGUGUUGUUUGAGACUGGGAAUCUUCAUGUUGAGCUGAGCGAUCAAUUUCGUGCGACUUUUUUGGAGAAUCAAUGUUCACUUUUAGAGGCCAACUAUGAGGCUUUCCUUCGAGAGAACCAUGUCAUGCAUGCUCAACUCACUGGGAAGUCUUCUUAAGUAAUUUUUCUGAAUUGGUUAUGCUUUAUAUGUGUCUUAGCAAGCAUUUUGGUAGGGAUAUCUUGUAAGUGUAACAAACUUCUUGUACUCUCAAUUAUUUUGUUGGACGAACCUUACAUUGUUAUGCUCGAUGGUUUUAAUCAAGUUUUUGGUCCCAACUUACAUUUCUCUUUCACGUUUGAUUACUUUUUCCUAGUCCCAUGUUUUUCCGGUGUGAUUCAUCUAGGAAAUCUUGCAAAUCAGGCCACUAUCCUACCAAGGUGUCAUUUGCCUCUUAUAAGUCAUGUUGCUUAUUAUCAUAUGCUAGUAUGAAUUGGUUAAGGAAAUGUUGCGACCUUAUUGGGUGGCAUGUUAGCCUCAUUAAUCAUGUUUCUUUGAAUCAUAUGCUGGUAUGAUUUGAUCAAGGUAAUGAUGCGACCUUUCUGGGGUGUUGUGUGCCCUUCAUAAGUCAUGUUUCAUUGAAUCAUUUAUUAAUAUGAUUUGAUCAAGGUAAUGUUGCAACCUUGUCGGGGUGUCGAUUUCCCCUUAUAAGUCAUGUUGCUUUGAAUCAUAUGUUAGUAUGAUUUGAUCAAGGUAAUUCUGUGAGCUUUACAGGGUGUUGCAUGCCCCUCAUAAGUCAUGUUUCUUUGAAUCAUAUGUUGGUUUGAUUCGAUCAAGGUAAUGUUGCGACCUUUUUGGGGUGUCAUGCGCCCCUCAUAAGUCAUGUUCCUUUGAAUCAUAUAUUGGUAUUAUUAGAUGAAAUACGUCACUAAGAGUUAUAAAGGAGUUAGAAAAGUGGUAGUGUAACUACUUAUACAGUUAGAAUGGUGCAUUGACGUGUAGUGGGGAUUGUAAUUUACCUAAGAGUAGAUGGUUUAGAAAUGUGUUGGUUUUAAACCAUACUUGUGAGAAAAAUGUAAGUUUAUAAUCAAGGUCGAGUAAAGUGGAACAAAGAUGAGAAAUGGUGUUAAGUGUGCAGUAUGAUUGCAUAUGAGUGGAUAGAGUAAUAUAUGUCCCUUAACAACCAUUUUCAGUACAUAGAUGAAGAGAGUUUGGUAAUUGCAUUGAAAAUGAUACGAAUUGGAAAUUAGAUUACAAUUUCAGGUUAUGAGGUUAAAGAAGAGAAUAACCUUAGAAAAGAGCCAUUGAGUGAGAAAAUGGCUAAUGAAGUUAAGAAAAUAUUUUUAGGAUGAAAUCUCUUAAAAGAUGGGAGAUUGUAUGAACCUAGAAUUUAAAGAGAUUUGACUUUUAGUCCAAUAUUGAUCAAAACGGAAAAAUUGUCAUUUAUGAGAAAUGGGCAAGUUUAUAAAGUUUUGACUUCAUGAAAAUGGCCAAGAAGAGUUUAAGUCAAUAAUACGAGGUUGUAUGAGUCAGUUCAAGAGAAGAAAUACAUGAGAAGACGCAUUUUGGUCAAAGGGGUAAAAUGGGGAAUUUAAUGCUUUUUUGGCCAAAUUUGUGACUUAAUAUAUUAAAACUUGUAUUAAUUUAAUGAGAAAUGACUUAACAAGGUUGUAGAUUGUAUCCCCACCUUCGCGUGGAUAUAAAGAUCAUAGCAAACAACCAUAGACCGAAGAAGUUAUAAAGGUUAGAAGUUGGGACAAAACUUGUUCCCAAGGCUGGAAUAGAAUCAACAAUGGACUUUGUUGAUCUGCAUCCACUGCGACAUGGAGAAUGCCUUACCAUGACGAGGUGAGGUUGAUGGAUAAUGAGUCACAUUCUCAUCGUAAGUAGAGGGUAAUGUACGUUACGAUGUGACAUGGUAUAUGGGUGCCACAACAUGGUGGCCAAAGUAGGAUGUUGUAAGGGGAAGGCAUCACGGCUUGACCAAAGACUAACCACGUCAUAAGAGCUCUCACCAUAGCACUGUGAUAGUUUCAUAAAAACGCAUUAUCAAGGACGAAACAUAGGUUAUAACCUAUUAGAGCCUCAAUUGCGAACAAAAGACACCCCAAAUUAGAGCAGAGCUUAAUGCUGGUGAUUUUGAUGUCAAGAAGGAAGCAAGAAAAGCUAGAGAUGAAUCCUAACAAGGAUUUUCAUCCUCUCUCCAAUAAGGUAAAUGUAACACCCGGAUUCCCAGGUAUGAUAUUUUGUUCUUUUAUUUUUGGGUUUUGUGGGGGUACUCGGCGAGUUGGCGUCUAGACUCGCCAAGUAUGGUCGCAGAUUUGUAUGCGAGUUCACAGCUGGACUCGGCGAGUUCAUGAGUGGACUCGGCGAGUCCACGCUGUUUAAUGAAACCCUAAUUUCCAUGGUUUGAGACCUAUUUAAAGGGCCUUAUGGCUGUCAUUUGCGGCCACCAACCCCAGAGAUAAACCCUAAAGAGAUCUAGAGCAUUUGUGAGGAAGGAGAGGCCAAUCUUGGUAUUUGGUGGGUGUUUUGCAAGAUGGAAGUGUUUAAGGCAAGAGGAGGCUGUAGGAGGUGUGAUUUUUGGUGGUUUUGAGCUCAAAGAGAUUUCAUUAAGGUACUAUUCUCGGACCUUCUUCAGUUUGGUGUUGAUUCUUAGUGUUAGGGUUUUCCAAACCCUUUUUGAGAUUGAUUAAGUGGUGUAUUUGGUCCCUCCUUGAGUUUGUGUUCUGGAUCUGGACCCAAAGAGGUCCAGAGACUUUAUCCCUUGGAUCUUUAUGAGUCUUUUUGGAAGUCAUGAGCUUGGAAUGUCAUUUUUGGGGCUAAAUCACCGUUUUGGAUCAUUUCUAUGUUAUUUGUGUGUCAAGGUCCGAACUUUACGUGAUUAUCAUGCUUGGGGAGGUCAGAUCUAUGACUGUGUGGAACAGAUCUGACCUCAGAAGUCGUUUUGAGAUUGUGCAUGGCAUGAACUCGCCGAGUCCCAAGAACAGACUCGGUGAGUAGUAUGAAGGUUGCCCGUUAAUCACUCAGUGAGUGGACUUGCCGAGUUGGGAGAAUGACUUAGUAAGUCAGGGAGAGUCAGGGGUCUGAGUUCAAGUUGGAACUUGCCGAGUUGUUCUUGGGACUCGGCAUGUUGAGUCGGGGUAGCGCCGCGAUUCAUGCCAGGUGGGACUNCAUGCCAGGUGGAACUCGUCGAGUCAAGGGAAGUACUCGACGUGCCAAGAGAGAAUCUAAGAGAGUCAAUGGACACGUGUAGACUCACCGAGUCGCCCUUGUGCACUCGCCGAGUCGGGUCAAGUUCGACCGUUGACCUUGUUGACUUUAGGGUUGAGUACAGUUGUAUUUAUGGGAGUAUUACUUUAUGUGAUUAGGCGGAGGCUAGAUCAUAUUUCUUCCGAGUCAGAUAUUUUCCGAGACAUCGAGGUGAGUCUUCUCACUAUACGUUACCUAGAGUGGUACUAUCCGAUGACCAGAGGGUCUUAUUUGUGAUGUAUGAGAUUAUGUGCUAUGUGAUAUUUGUAUGUUGUAUGAUGAUAUAGACCGGACCGGAGGGUCCAAUGAGCUAUGACCGGACCUAAGGGUCUAACAAGCUACGGGACUGGAGGGUCCCGCUGAGACACAGCGACCGGAGGGUCGUACUAUAGCCUCGAGUGGCGUGUGUGCUGUAUGUGGUAUUUUGGGGAACUCACUAAGCAUUUAUGCUUACAGUUGUUGUGUUAUGUGUUUCAGGUACUAGUGAUGAGCGUGGGAAGACGCCGGCAUGAUUCAUACACACACGCAUUGGAGUUUUGUGGAGAUUCUGGGCAAAUGUUUUGUAAUAAUAACAUUGAUACAAUGUGUUUGACAAUCUUUAUGAAUGAAUGAAUGCUUUAAAAAUCAAAAAUUUAUUUUGUAAAUUCGCGUUGUUACAGUAAAGAUUUAUCCAUUUUUGAGAAAAUGUUUAGUUUGGUUAGAUUGAUUGAAUUGAUCAACCUAUAGUUUGAUUAUGAUGUAGAUGAGAGUGUUUAGAAGCUUUAAUCAAGCUAGGGAAGUGAUUUCCAUGCUGAAGUCAACCCAAUGAGAGUUAGGGUUUGAAACGCUGACUAGUGCAUUUAUGAUUGAUUCAUUGAUGGUUAGAUUAUAAUAAAUUAGGUAGUAUGGGAUGCUUAAUUCAUUGGUUGUGUUAGAUUAAGAGGUGAAAAUAGAGAAGUUAGAAUAUUGAUCCAUGGAGUGGUCAUUUUGACAUAGAGAGGAUUAAGCUCUUAAUAGGUUAAGACAUGUUCUAAGGGACUUGACAUGUAGUAUUAAUAGGCCUUGAGCAAAGAAGAUGGAUAAAAAUGCAUCAAUCGAAGACAGGAUCCAAGAGUCGUUAAUGUUCACUAACUAACAUGGUGAGUUAUGAGUACUAUCUACAUGAUGUAAGAAAGAAUAAGAUUAUAUUUAUUAUAAUCAUAUGUAUGAAUGUAUGUAUGGUUAGAUGAGAAGGUUAUUUGUUGAAUACAUAAUAAAUGGUAAAAGGAGAUAGAAUGUGAUUAUAUUCACUAUAAUCAUAUUAGUGAAUUAAUGGUAUUGUGUAAAAUACCUAAGAGCAAUGAGAAAAUGAUAAAGAUUAAGUACUUAAUAAGUUAAGUACUAGAUGAGUAGUAAGAGAUAUAUUGAUGAGAUAAACAGAUCGAAUGUCCAUGGGACAAGUGUGAUGUGAUGAGUCACAUAAAAGAGUUAGAGAAAUUUAGAAAGAUGAUUCGUUCGGGAAUGGUAUAGAGAUUCCUUUGGGAAUAAGAUUAUGGUUCCUUCGAGAAUGUACAUAUAUGAUUCGUGAGGGAAUGAGUUUGUGUAUAGUUAGAGAAUAUAGAAGGAUUCGAUGAGUGGAACAAGGUAAGAGUUUUCUUUAAGAAAUUAAAGAUAAUCCGAGAGGGAUUAAGAAUAAGUAAUAUGUGAUGGAUUCUAGAAAAGAAUAAUAUCAAAGAGAUUCGUUAGAGAUCAAGAUGAGGGAGUUACGUCCAGAUGUUUGUUCCCGGUAAGAUUAUAUGUAUGUUUUCCCAUAUAUGAUUAAUGUAGUUAUUAUAUGUGAUGGACCAUUUAGGUCUAGAUUAGAAUGUAAUGUUGAGGCAUGAGAAGUUGAGAAUAGAGAGACGAGAUUUAAGUAGAAUAAGAGAUGAGAAAGUCUUGCAUAAAGAGAGGGAAGACUAUACAGAAAGAUGAUAUGAGAUAGAGUAUCGAGAAAGCAAAAAUAAAAGAAGUGAUAAGAGCAUGAGAGAGCCAAAGUAAGUUAAGAUAGUGCAUGUAUAGAGUAUGAGAUGAUCUUGAGAAGAGGCUAAGAAACUGUAUGAGUUAAGAAGAAAGGAAUGGUGUAACACCCAAAAAUUUCAAACCAAUUUAAACUUUUGAAACAUGUCAAGUUCAUCAAAACAUUACAACUUUGUUUUCAAAAUAUUAUUUAUCAGAGUAUUCCCAUAAACAUAAACAUGAUAUGAGGAGCUGUACGAUCAUGCCUUCGCCUUGCUGCGAUCCCCUGAUGUACCUGAAACAAUAAACUGAAACAGUAAGCCCGCAAGCUUAGUGAGUUACCCCCAAAAUACCGACACACAUACAGUCCACAUAACCAUGUCGGCAAUAACAUGUCAUAACCAACUAAACAGAAUAGCACAUAACGGCUCCAUAGCCCUACAGAUUGUAAUACCCACGAGCCCAAAGUACGAGUCUCCCUCAUCCCGUAACUGGAAUGCUCCCGAGCCCACAGUACGAGUCUCCCUUAGCUUGUAACUGAAAUGCUCCUAGGGUUUAUUGGCUACCGCACAAAGCAGUACAACCUCAACCAAUCCCAUAUGACAAACACAUAAAUCAUAAGAAUCGAGCAUGCAAUAACCAUAUAACAUCACAGGUAGUCCUACAGACCCACCAAAUAGGUAUAACCACUAGCAUGCAAUACUAAGUCAUACUCAACAUCUAACACAGCUCAAGAUAACAUGUCAAAUAGGCUGGCCUUGGUGCCUUGACCCCUUAGUGUAGUGAGGAUAACUCACCUCGCAACUGUCGUAUGAACUAGAAAGCUUAACUCCUGGAUCACUAACACAAACUUCACCACCUACGAUUACCAUAAAACCCCUUUUUUCAUAAAUUUCCUAAUUACCAUAAUACCCUUAGAAGUCAACUGGUCAACCAUUGCUCCAAGUCAAAGUCCACAGUCAAAGUCAACAGUCCAUGUUGACUCGACUCGUCGAGUGCAGCUCACCGACUCGUGAAGUCCCUCCUGAACUCGAGAAGUCGGGAAAUCCUUGAUUGGCUUGUCGAGUUCCCCUUUAACUCGCCGAGUUCACAUGUGUCCAUGAAUUGGGAGAAACCCUAGCCGACUCGCCGAGUCUUCGAACGAGUCGCCGAGUUCAAGGCAAUCUUCAACGGGCUCGUCGAGUUGUUCAUCAACUCGUCGAGUCCAUGACCAUCUUCAAUGGGCUUGCCGAUUUGUUCAUCCAACUCGUUGAGUCAUUGCAGACCUUUAUCCAUGCAGACGCUUUUUAAGCCAUGGCAAGGUUCUAGAUUACAAAUCCAAGCUUCUAAGGCACGUUUAUCACGUAAACUUGCAAACUUUACGCACACGCAAGGCUCUAAAGGCCCUAAAUGACUAAUCAAAGCUUCCAAUGGAGCUUUACACCUUGGGAGAGUCUCAUCCUUGCACAAGAUGGAAACUUUAUGGACUUAGAAGCCCAAGGGAGCUUAGUUCGAAAGUGACAACUUCAGAUCUUAGCUUGCACACAAGAAUAGCUUCCAAUCAUACCAUGAAAACCCUAAGAUUCGUCUAAAGAAGGAAUCUAGAAUGAAAUGAGCUCAGGGUAAAGAUUUAUACCUUCCAGAAGAUGCCCAAAAGGUAGAUUUCAGAUUCCACAAGCUCCUUGCUUCUGAAUACUAGCUCUCUAAGCUCCUUUCUCCACAAAAUCCUCUUCCAAGCUCAAAAGUGCACAAAUGGAAAACACACACUCGAUUAGGUUUUGAGAAGGACAAGAAGCAGUAAAGGGGAAGCUGGGGGAGGCCAAUGAUCCUUUAAAUAUGGUGCAAAACCCCGAGAUCUAGGUUUUCAUCUGCCAGCUCGUACUCAUCGAGUCCCUUCUUGGACUCGGUGAGUAGGUCAUUAAAAUAUGUGGACCAACCCGCUGCUACUCGACGAGUAGGGCAAUCAACUCGUCGAGUAGCCCCUUGAAAUCGAGAAACUCACACAUUAAAUCAAUACCUUAGAAACGUGGCAUUACAAAUGGAGAAGAAGAGUAAAGGAUAAAGCAUGAGGUAGAGGAGAUGAGAAGGUACGAGAAAAGAGAAGAAGAGGCAUAUGGAUGAGAAAGAAAAACAAUGUGUGAUAUAAGAAGAUUAGAUUGCAGAAUAUGAGAAAUAAAAUAGAGAAGGAAGCAUUAUCGAAAUAUACAAAUAGAUAAAAGAAGAGUGGAUUAACAUGAAAUAGAAAGUAUAUAACUCACCAAAUAUUGAUGUCUGAUAUUGUAGAGAUGUUUCAUGUUUUGCAGGUUCAAGUAGAAGCCAUGGUACAUGAGAAGAUAAGAGCAUAAGGACUUAGACUAAAAGUGUACAUACUUUAGUUUUCCUUGUUGCUGUAUUUAUCAUUUUAUUUUAAACCUGAAUAUUGCCUAGGGUGUAAAAUGUUUUAUUUUUAUUAGUUUAUAGAAUUCCAAAAUUUUUUAGAAAUAAUUUUGUAAUCCCUAGAGAUUUGAGUGUAGAAAGUUUAGGUGAUGUUUUUUCUAGUAAUUAUGGCCAUUGGUUCAGCUUACACCCAUUUGGUGAAGUAAUGAAUUUCUACAACUAGGAAUUUUAAUUUUACUAGUGCCUCCAAGAAAGUCCCUACAAUAUCAAUUCUUCAUUGUGCGAACGGUUAUGGGAUUUUGAUGCUUAUCAAUGGUGUGGAUGCUCUUCUCGGUAUCGGCGCAUGUUUUUGGCAUUUCUCACAAUUGUAGAUAACGUAUUUUUUUGUUUUGAUACAUUGUUGGCUAAUAGUAUCCUAAUCGGGCUACCUUCUAGAUGAUCAUUCUCUCCCCCCUCAUGUGCUCCUGCUAUCCCUUCAAGCAUUUCACUUAUCAUCUAUUUCGCCUCUACUUUAUUCACACAUCUAGUCGGGAUGCUAGGUAACCUCUUUUAUAUAAUGUCCCAUUUUGCAUCACAAAAGAUGGUGCCUUGAUUCUUACUUUUCAAGCUUGUUUGUUGUCCUAUGGUAGUUUUCCUUCCAACAAGUAUUCAAUUAUUGGACGUCUUUAAUGGUUUGUUGGGUCUACGACCUAGAUUGAAUGUGCUUCAUCUAUCAAUUUUAUUUGUACUAUUUCUACUAGGAUUUAUUUUGUAAAGUGUGAAAAAGCAGAUGACGAUAGCUUGCUUAAUGCAUCUGUUCACUUAUUCUUUGAUCGGGGUAAAUGUUGUAGUUUGAAGCUUCUGAAUUGCUUUGUUAGUAAUAUUACUUUGGCACGCGUAUUGAAAAAAAUUGAAUCCCAUGACUUCAUAGAUUCCAUUGAUUAGCUACUACCAUAGGAUCAACAAAGGUGCUUAUAUCUUGGCAUCCCAUUUUAAUUGUUGAUUGUAGUACAACUAUUAAAGCUUAGUACUCAGAUUCAUGGUUUGAGGCUACGAAGUCAAACCAUAGUGCAUAGGUUAUGUCCUCUCAUGUUGGGUUAGUCAGUAUUAAACCAGCUCCUGCCCCAUCUAUACUUGAGGUUUCAUCAUCAUCCAAGACCCAUUCUUCCUUAUCGGGUUGGUUUUCUUGUUUACCUUUCUUGUUGCUUUCCUCCACUAUGGUUAACUUUAUGUUGCUAGUUUUAUCGGUUUAAAGUCUACUAGUGCCUAUGACUUUAUGCUUUCUUGUGGCUUGAAAUCCAUCUCACAUUCCCCUAAUUCAACUUCCCAUUUAGCCAUAUUUGCCGACUUUUCUCGAUUUAACAACUUCCCUAAUGAAAUGAUAUUGCUAAGGAUAUAUAAUCAUAUAGGGUCACACCUUUAUUACUAGAAAAAUACCCUUUAAUGACACAUACUACGUGUCAUAAAAGGGUGCAUAUGACACGCAGAUGCGUGUCAAGGAAGCCCAUGUCAUAAAGGAAGAUGAUACGCAUAGAUGACACGUAAUGUGUAUCAAGCAAGCCCCUGUCAUAAAAGAAGACGACACACAUUUGCGUGUUGUAACCUGAUGAAGUGCCUUUACGACACACAUAGCGUGUCAUAAUUUAAAAUGUUUUAAAAAAAUAUUUUUAUUAUAGAUUUACUAAUUUUCAAAGUAAAUGACAAUUAAUGUUUCAUAACACAACAUAAAAUACAUUAUAUAACAAAAAAAUAUAUAUUUCAUACAAUAAAUGUACCAACAUUCAUUCAGCUAAUCUACUUUGUGUUUCAUACAUCUAUUUCAUACAAUAAAUGUACCAUCAAUAGAAACUGUCACACCCCAAAACUGGAACGGCGGAAAGGUUCUGGGGUGGAUGACGUCAUGUCAAGUAUUACAACAUAUGCAAUAUAGUUAUCAAAGUACAACAACCAUUGCAUUAAUAGUAAUAGUUUUACAUUGUUUACAUUACAUAGACACAUCAAAGUAAUACAAGUAAUAAUAUAGGUGCAACUUGGUACUAAACCGUCUUCAUCAAAAGCUCCUGGAAUGUGCCUGUCUAUUGUUGACCUGAGAAUACAAGUUAAUUGAAAGCGAGUAUUAGCAUUUUUACAAAUGCUGGUGAGUUCAUAAGUAUUUAGUGUCAUUUUAUCCAAAUAACUUUAUAUAAGUAAUAGUUUUAAAGUAUAAAGUGAAUUAAAGUCCUUUCCAGAAAAUCCUAUAUUUUCUAAUUAAAAGCAGCCUUCUACCAAGACUGGAUAGAGUUAUGUGGUAAAAAGUAGUUUUUCCUUAACACUAUCAUUGUGAAAAAGUGGUAUUGAUUUUGAAAGAAAGUAGGAGAAUAUCAGUGCAAAUAACAUAAGCCUCAGCAGUGAAGACUGCUGACUAAGGCAAAAGAAAUCAUAGACUCCAGGAGAGUACCGAAUGAACGGUACGCCUAGCUCAGUCUAACAAAAGGGAGACACAGACCCUAGAUGGUAUCAAACGAAAGAUACGUCUAGCAAGGUCUAAAAACAGUGGACACAGACCCCAGACAGUAUCAACUGAAUGAUACGUCUAGCAAGGUCUAAAAAUAGUGGAAACAGACUCUAGACACUAUCAACUGAAUGAUACGUCUAGCAAGGUCUAAAAACAGUGAAUACAAUGUUAAAACCCGUUACCUUAAGGCCAUGAAUUAUAAGGUAACCUCGAGAUACUCGUAACCAUACUGAUAGAAACUAAAGAACUAGACGCCCUGCAAGCGUCUGUGUAAGUGUGACAAUUUUCACCUCUUAGCUUGGUAGGCCGUAGACUGUAGCUAGUAGUCAGGGUGCGGGGGUGUCAAUCCCGUAUAGAUCUAUGCACACAAUGUCUGCUCUCCCUACAAGAGACUCUGGUUACCAACUUGACAACGAAGAAGGUCGUGUACUGAAGAUGUAUCUUGUAUAGUGAGAUCUAAUGUAAAAUACUGGACUGGUGAUAGAGACUCACAACUGAACUGACUAAUGUAAACGUAUAUGUCUAUGCUUGUAUACAUAAUAUAUAACUAAUGAUCAAACAACCUUCGGACGGAUAUCCGAUCCCACCAGACCACAUCUCAAUGAAGAAAAGGAAAUAGGGUGAACUAGCCUUCCUAAGUCCUUUAAACAUUACUUAUAUAUAUCUAUACAAGCACGGGCAUACAUUUAACUAAGUAGAAGCAUUUAACGAAGUUUAAGUGUUUAACGAAGUAGAAGUGUUUCCCAAAGUACAAGUGUUAACAAGUAGGAGCUUAUCGUGAAGUAGAAGCGUAUCAUGAAGUAUAAGCGUAUCGUGAAGUAUAAGUGUAUCGUGAAGUAUAAGCGUAUUGUGAAGUAGGAGCAUUAACAAAUAUAAGUGAAGUAGAAGCGUUAACAAGUAUACGUGAAGUAGAAGCGUUAACAAGUAUAAGUGUAUCACGAACUGAAAGCAUUAUCAAGUAGGAGUUUAAACUAAGUAGAAGUGAAGCAGUAGUAUCUUAACCAAGUAGGAGUAUAAAAACAUGGGAGAAAACUUUGAUGAAAAACUUGGGAAAACCUUUAUACUUGAGAAAAUCACAUCUUGGUAUUCUUUUGUAAAAUAAGUUUGAAAUGAAACUUUGAUAAAACAUUUUAAGUACAGAAAACUUUUGUUUAUAAUGCUGCUGUAACGGAAUUUGAAAUAAAACAUGCAGCGCGAGAAACAAUUUGAGAAGAGCUUUGAAACAAGUGAAAACAUUUUAGGAAAACCAUUUACAGUAUCAUUCUUGGUAAAACAGUUGACAGUGUAACAAAUCCUUGUGCAUGCAGGUUAUCAAUCGUAUGUGAUUGAUAUGAUAACUGGCAUGUUUAACUUGUAUCCCCCCCCAUAAAAGCAUGUAAAAACGUUUAAAAGGUUCAUUCAUGGGUAUGAACUCACCUGAUGUAAGUGGAUCCGACGAAGGUGCCGGUUGGGUGCUCGGUGUCAAGUAAAGACUUGAAUACACUUAGUGACUUAUUAACAUAUCAUAACAUAUGUUUACAUACAAUUAGUACAUAUAAUACUAAUUAAACAAGUAUACGCAUCCUANAAUUGCGGAACACUUUGAUAAAGUGCUAGGGGUGUCCUGGGUAACAUCUAUGGGUAUGUAUGGCUUAGAUAAAGAGUUUACUCUUCAAGAGUAAACUCUUUAUAGAGUUCACGGCCCUAGGACUAACUCCCCAUGAUUUUACGGCUGUAAACUCAUGGUGAGGGUGUUCUAGGGUGCUAAAAGGUCUCAUCUCAAUUGUAGAUGUAUGUUAAGUCCAAAUAUAAGGCACAUGAGUGGAUUUAAGGCAUCUAAAUGGACCAAAUAGGAGUUUACGGCCCUAAACAAGGAGAGUACGGCCGUAAGCUCCUAUAUACAUACUCCUUUGGUGUUUUAAGGGCUUAAAUGAUAGAGAAUAAAAUCCUAUGCAUUUUUCUAAGUCAAAUGGGGAGUUUAGGGCACCAUUUGGGCAUUUUCUAGGAGUUUACGGCCCAUGGACCUUUCCUAGGGGGGUUUACGGCCGUAAACUCCCAUUUCCUUGGAUUUAUUGAAGUUUAAUGCCUUUACUUAAAUGGGAUUGCUUCUAGACAUUUUUCCAAGGCCAUAGGAGGUGUUUGUGGGCAUUUCUAACACAUAAAAUUGAGUUUACUCCCCAUGAAGAGGAGUUUAUGGCCCAAGAAUGUUCUUGGGUAGUAAACUCAUUUUUACUCUCCAAAAACUCGUUUCAAGGUGUUCUAAGUCCGAAUGUGUAAGCCUACAAGUCAUAUCUAAGCGUUAGGGGCAAUUUGGAGGGGUUUGGGGCUUAAAAACCCCAUUAAAUGGUGUUCACGGUCCAAGAGUGUUCUUGGGCCAUAAACACAUAACUUGGCCCCUAUUUGAUGUCUUAAACACGAAUUUGCAUGCUAGGUAAGCUAUACAACAAGUUAGGGUAGAUUGCUUACUCGUUUGUGGCUCGAAACGGACAAUUUUUGGCUCGAAAAUAAGUUGUAGAGAGAGUGUGUAGAGAGAGAGUGGAAAAGGUGAAAAUGAAGUCCACUCCCCCUUAUAUAGGGGCUUGAGUUGAGGCUCAGUGGGAAUCUACCCGAUACUGCCGUUAAACGGGGCUUUUGGUCGCACCCGAUUUAGUGGUCGUAUUUUGACUAGGUUGAAACUAAAAUUUUUCCAAGGGAUUAAUGAGGGUGUUUUUAAUUUGUUUCAACCCUAACAAAGUCAUUUAAAAAGUCUCUAAAUUAAUUAGCCAGUCCAAAAGUUAACGGACAGUGAAAUAAAACGAGGUUUAUUAACGGAAAAGGGGGUUAAAAAUGACGGAAUAAAUUUCGGGUUGUCACAUCAUCCCCCCGUUAGAGGGAAUUUCGUCCUGAAAUUCAGGUUUAGGCAAGGAAGUAGGUAUGAAUGACCGAGUAGAGGCAGGUGGGUACUUCCUAUUCGGUUUUUCCUCGCACCCCCAAGUGAACUCUAGCCUAUGUUUGUCAUUCCAACAAACCUCCGCCUAUGGGAUGCGGAUUCUGUCUCGUGCAGUUAGUGAUUUCCUACAAGUAUUUCUACGAAGUUAGGGUUCUCAAUGGUUUCUAUCAAGACGAGUGGGUUAUGAAGGGUGACAUCGGGAAAGCACUUAUCAAGUCUAAGGAGUGGAUCGAUCUGUGGUGAAACAUGUGGAGUAUCCGAAUGUAGUAGCGGUCUGACGAGGGUUGGACCGAUCUCCGUGAGGAUUCUCAGAUGGUCCUAAGCUCUCUGAAGGUUAGAGCUUUUCAGUACCUAGAACAUAGUGUACUUCUAUGGCAAGAUCAUCACUUGCGUCAUUGCCAUUCCGAAGUUCCUAACGUUCUCUCUCAUACUGGAAGUGUAGUCCUUUAGGUUGGUUCUUAGGAAGCUCGGGUUGUCCUUGGUUUCGCGUUUCCUGUCAAUUGGCUUUUAGAGACUUUCUAGAUCAUUGGAUGGAUUGCGUGUCUAUGGUUAUCUGUUUGCUGUAGAGUGUCUAUCUCAAGCUCGUGCAAAAUGAACCUGCACUUCUGAUUCAUGAGAUAUUUCUAACGGAAACCCUCUGGGUCGAGGAGAUAGGGUUUCACCAGACGAGUGUUGGACUAUCUCAAGAGGUGGUUCUACUAUUUCUGCGUGAGAUAGUAUUGGUGGAACACCUAGUAGUCCAAUGAAUCUCUAAGAUGUUGGUUUAUUUCAGUGCGGAAAGCAGUUGCUCUUGUAUAACCCAUCGACUAACACCUGGAUUGGUGUCGAGUCUAUAAUCUCUUCUGGAUCUGGAUUAUAAGACUUAACGCAACUACUUUCGCACUUUGAUCAAGUAUUCUUGGCUGCGAAGGUUAUCUUGUGGUUCUCGGUAUUCUAGUGUUCGCUUCGGAGAAUUCAGUCUAUCGCCUACAAGGCGGCGGUGACUUCCUCCAUGCGAUGGGGUGGAGGAUCCUAGGCACUACUCAUCUGUAACGGGGUGGACAAAGUGCCUGAGUAGUGCGAACAUCUUCUACUACUAUUCUGAAGGUUCUGAGUUUUCUCGGUCUAUGUCAAACAAGGAGUUUACAGCCGUAAGCUCCUAUUUACAUACUCCUUUGGUGUUUUAAGGGUUUAAAUGAUAGAGAAUAAAAUCCUAUGCAUUUUUCUAAGUCAAAUGGGGAGUUUAAGGCACCAUUUAGGCAUUUUCUAGGAGUUUACGGCCCAUGGACCUUUCCUAAGGGGGUUUACGGCUGUAAACUCCCAUUUCCUUGGAUUUAUUGAAGUUUAAUGCCUUUACUUCAAUAGGAUUACUUCUAGACAUUUUUCCAAGGCCAUAGGAGGUGUUUGUGGGAAUUUCUAACACAUAAAAUUGAGUUUACUCCCCAUGAAGAGGAGUUUACGGCCCAAGCAUGUUCUUGGGCAGUAAACUCAUGUUUACUCUCCAAAAACUCGUUUCAAGGGGUUCUAAGUCCGAAUUUGUAAGCCUACAAGUCAUAUCUAAGCGUUAGGGGCAAUUUGGAGGGGUUUUGGGGCUUAAAAACCCCAUUAAAUGGUGUUCACGGUCCAAGAGUGUUAGUGGGCUGUAAACACAUAACUUGGCCCCAAUUUGAUGUCUUAAACACGAAUUUGCAUGCUAGGUAAGCUAUACAACAAGUUAGGGUAGAUUGCUUACUCGUUUGGGGCUCGAAACGGACGAUUUUUGGCUCGAAAAUAAGUUGUAAAGAGAGUGUAGAGAGAGAGUGGAAAAGGUGAAAAUGAAGUCCACUCCCCCUUAUAUAGGGGCUUGAGUUGAGGCUCAGUGGGAAUCUACCCGAUACUGCCGUUAAACGGGGCUUUUGGUCGCACCCGAUUUAGUGGUCGUAUUUUGACUAGGUUGAAACUAAAAUUUUUCCAAGGGAUUAAUGAGGGUGUUUUUAAUUUGUUUCAACCCUAACAAAGUCAUUUAAAAAGUCUCCAAAUUAAUUAAUCAGUCAAAAAGUUAACGGACAGUUAAAUAAAACGAGGCUUAUUAACGGAAAAAGGGGGUUAAAAAUGACGGAAUAAAUUUCGGGUUGUCACAGAAACCAUUUCCUUAAUUCCUCUGUGAAACAUUUGAAGAGAAUAAGAUAGUAAACGACCUUGUGUAUCUGGUCUUUAAAUAAGCAAAGCUUUCUUGACAUCUCAACACCUUUUUUUACCUGACCAUAAUGGCACAACAUAUACAAAAGCAAAGAAAAGAAAUAAAAAUAUCACCUGCUUAAUGAAUGAUAUUAGCUCUGAAUAUUAUAUAACAAUUACCUUAUUAACAAAUGUUCCUUGAAAUAGUCUUUUGUCUUCUUUUAACUACCAUUAAGAAUCAAAAGUAGUAGAUUAGCACCUUUCAUGAAAUUGAAAAAAAAAACUAAAUGAAAAGUAGUAGAUAUUAGUCGAGAGAGAUUGAUAUGUGGAUGUUGUUAAUCGGGUCCAACAUCGCCUGAAACAGAUUUAAAAAUAAAAAAUAACAUUUAGUCGUGAAUCAAAAAUUCCAUACUUUAAAAGAGGCUACAUGGUUGGAAAACUUCAUCGAUGAUCUUGGUAUCAUUCUUAGCAUUUGAGAUCCCAUGGAAAUCUUUUGUGAUAAAUAGGGUGUAGUUGUGUUGACUAAAGAGCCUAAAGAUCAUGGGUAGUCAAUAUAUAUACUCAGGAAGUACUACAUUUAUAAGAUAGAUGAGAAUCAAGACAUCUUCAUAAAAAUAUUAUCAUCAAAAGAGAAUUUUGUUGACCCGUUCAUAAAGCCAUUAUCGAGGACCAACCAUGACAGUCAUACUAGGUCAAUAGGCAUGAGACUUCUGAGUGAUAUGGUUUAGUUUAUGGUUUGAUUAUUUUUCAACAUAUAACAUUAUGAUAUUCAACCAAUUUGGUGCUUAUUUUAUGGUGCAUUAAUAAAUAGAUAGUGACACUGCCAUUUUUGUUCAUUUAUUUCUAUGUUUCACUUUUGCAUGUUUAGAACCUACUUUCGUAAGGGUAGUGUAUUCAAACCUUCAAAUUCGGUCAUACUCAUGGAAGUAAGUAGUGAUAUAAAAUUUUCAUGAGCAUUAGUGGAUUGUCUAGAUAUUAGACAUAACAUAGAGAUUGUGUUAUCAUUUAUGAGUAUUGAAUAGAGAUUUAAGUAUUGGAACAACCCGCACUCAGAAAUUACUUCAUCAAUGAAGUCACGAGUAUUUCUAAGAUGAUAAUAUCUUUAUUCUUCAAACUGAGAUGCAUAUGGGAUUUUGCUUUACAAAUAUGUUAUGCAUUGGUCUACUCCGAUGUUAUUCGUAACUGGUAGUAAUAAAGGAUAUGUUAAUGUAUGAUAUGGUGGGUAUACAAAAACUAUGUAGUCAAAGUUUAUUUGUUUCUCCUGCCUUAAUAAGAGAAGCGAUAUUUAUGGUCCUCUUGAUGAUUGGUGUUAAAAUCUGAAAUUUUAGGCUGAGCCCUAACUAAAAUUUAUUUGCUCACUUUAGUAGUCUAAUGUAGUUGUCACAAAUCUUUAUCGGGAAACAUAAUCUUGAAAACUAAGAUUGAUAUAUAGAACAAAGGAAUAACCAAUCAUUUAUCUAAUGGUUGAAUCAAGAUUAGAUCAGAGUUUGGCAGUUGCAUUAGAUGACAUACUCUAUGUUGAUUAUUAGAGAAGUAUUGGACCUCAUAUAGUUGAUGGCUUUUCCAAGUGAGAUAUUGUUGGAUUGAUUGUCAAAGGUAAUUAACUAUUGAUGACAUUUCUAAUAAUAAUUGGGCUCUUUUGGGUUGUCUUCAUAACUCGUUUGAGUAGUAAGGAAUUGAGAGAAAGUAAGUUUGUUAACUUAUUACGAAUUAAUAAAUUAAUUAGAAAUUAGUUUUGAAAUAAUUAAACAUUUUUUAAUUAAUUAAAUGGGUUGAAAUUAAUUGAGUUAUUAGUAAUUAGUUGGAAUAUUCUAGAACUCUCCAAAAUAAGGGUAUGGAAGAAAAUCCCUAAGGAUUAAGGAUAUUAAAAGUUUUGAAUAUGGAUAGAGAUUAUCCUUAGGAAUUUGAAUACUUAAGGAUUAAGUUAGAGACUAUAAAUAGGAUGUUAGGGAUCAAACCCUGACUCUUUUACCCUUUCAGGAAUUCAUCCAAGCCUUCCCUCUUUCUCCCUUUUACGAAAAUAAUAACCAUUCCUAGGGUUAUUUUGAUUUUCAAAAUUACCCUCUCUCUUAGAGUUUCUCUUUUUUUUUUUCGAUUUAGUCUAUAUGAUUACCAUAUUUUAUAAAAUCUAUUAGUACACUUAUGUUUGUCAUACCCUUGACCCUCUCCAUCAGAGUAUAAAUAACAAUACGAACCUAUUCCUUGGAUAUCAAUCUUUAAAGAGUUUUAGUACUUUGUUUAUCCGGGUUUAUUACCUAGAUAGAUGGUGUAACUUCUUCUUUUUCAAAAUUAGAUCAAAUUAUUGAUUGUCAUCUUGUAUGUUCACCAAUAAUGUUAUAUGGUUUUACCUUCUAUAAUCGUAUAGUCGUUGAAUCUUUGUUUUAAAUAAACAAAAGAACAUUAAAAAAAAUAUACUUUGUGAUUGGUUUAUGUUUUAAAAUGUUUUCAAAAAAUCAAAGAUUUUACAACCCCUACCCCUUCUAUAAUCAUAUUAAUUAUUUUGUACAUAACAAGAGAUGUAUUAAAGGUUUGGAUGCAUGUAUAUCCUCUAGUGGUUUAUUUUUCAUAGGAAAGAUUCUUAUUAAUCAAUCUACGUGUUGUUGAGUGCAUAUGCUUAUUUCCAUAUUAUAAAUAUAUUGUAUUUUUUCAUGAUAUACACUUUCAACAUCAAUAAUCUAAAGGAAACUAAAUUACGUAAUUGUAUUGAUGUAUCAUGGUGAAUAACGAGAUAUGUUAUUUAUCAGGUUGGGAAGCUAGAUAUGUUUAAGUUUCAUUUUUGGAUCCUUAUAGCUUUCUAGAGAUUCAAACUAGAUUAUGCACUCAUUAUUCACUUAUGUCAUGUAUUUUUUUCACCUCAUCUCUAAUUUAAAUAAAGUGAUUUUGUGCAAGGUAUAUUUCUUUUAGUAGUGAUUUUGUUAGCAUGUUCAUGUUAUGGUUUAUACAAGACUACUUGUAACACCCCAAAAUUCAGGCCCGGAAAUUUCAUUUUUAAAUUAAUAAUUUCUAAAACAUUUUACCAUAACACUGUUAAUAAAGCAACACAUUACAAAAUCAUAAUGUUGUGUCCCAAACCAUGACAUCAAAAAUAAAGAAAAUUAGAGUACAAUCCCAGAAAGUCCGAUGCGGAAUCAUGUGUGUGUGUGUGAUACGAUGCUACGCCGCCGACUCCUUCCCCUUAGACGAAGAGGUACCUGAAACCAAAACCGAAACCGUAAGCACAAAGCUUAGUGAGUUCCCCCAUCAUACCACAUACCAUACAAUAUCCUCAGUAUCUUUCAACCGGUAACUUCCAUCGGUAUCUUUCAACCGGUAACCGUCGUUGGUAUCAUUCAACCGCUAAUCAUCAUCGGUUUCUUUCAACCGGUAAUCAUCAUAGGUAUAUUUCAACCGGUAACUGUCAUCGGUAUCUUUCAACCGGUAACUGGGUACUAUUCCACCCCUACCACUAGCAUACCAUAACAAGAUAUAAACAUACAGUCAGGCAUAUCUGGGUACUGACCUACCCUUCAGUCCUAAGGACCGCUGUCAAGGAAACUAAUCCCUAUUAAACACAUAGCAUAUCACUCAGAUAAAACUCAUGACCAAAGCACAUAUCAAGACCAAGAUAAUUAUCACAAAGACAAUCAUCUUCUAAAUACUCCUCUUUGGUGGGUCGGCAUUGUGGCCUUAGACCCACCCCUACUGGAAGGUAACUCACCUCGUAUGCAUAGCUGCUGAUAAUCUGUGCGAGAAACCUCUGUCUGCUGCUACUCCGGAUAUCCUCCGGCUACAAUCCCCACAGAACACUCAGUCAGAAACUGAUAUCUACUCUUAGGGUAAAAUGACUAUUUUACCCCCAACCAAGUCCAAGUCAAAGUCAACUUCUAGUUGCCCCGAAUCGCCGAGUUGGGUCGUCAACUCGUCGAGUCCCUUUCCUUUACUCGUCCUUAUCUAUGACUCGACGAGUUCCCCUCCUUUACGAACAUCAAUGAACCUUUAUCCGACUCGCCGAGUCGUUUGAACACUCGUCGAGUUCACGUUCAUCUGAUGAACAAGUCCUGACCUUGACUCACCGAGUUGUAUGGACAACUUGUCGAGUUCAUCUUCAAACAUAAGAAGAUUGCCUUGGACUCGCCGAGUCUGUUCUAGCACUCGUCGAGUCCCAUGAACUCUAGGUCUAAAACUAAGUUCAAUGUAUUGGGUCACCCUUUCUGUCCUGUUACAACCCUUCUAGCACCCAACUGAGUCCUUUGGCCCUCAACUGAUAUGGGACUCAAAGCCUUGGACUCGUUGAGUCCCAAGAACGGACUCGCCGAGUCGAUAACGUCCACACCCUAAAUCCUCGAUUUCUGAUGUACAAAACUUUUCCAAAUGAUAGAUCUAAGCCCCUAAGCACGAUCUAGCACGUAAAGUUACGAACCUUACGUGCAUGCAUGGGACUUUUGAGCCAAAAAGGCUCUAAAAUGGCUCUUUUGUUUCAUGGGGCCUUCCUUGAGUGCAAAAGCAACCCAAAUAUGCCUUGUGACUCUCCCUAAGUGCUAGAUCCGAUGUCUUGACCCCCAACCAUGUUUGCAAUCAUGGUUGGCUACCUCAUAUGGCUUAAAAAGCCUAAAUCCUUCCCAAAAAGGGAUUUAACAAACAAGCAAGCAAGGUACAGACUUUAUACCUUUCAAAGACUGCAAAUGAUGAACCAAACUCGAAUCCUUAAGUAUCCUCUUGAUCCUUCUACGCUCUUCCUUCUUCCUUGAGGUCAAAAACCACUAAGAUAACUCAAAAGCCUUAGAUUUUGCACCAUAACACUUAGGGUUUGCUAUGGAUGGCUUCUGGGAGCAUAAAGGGGCGAUAGAGGCUGUAUAAGGUUGUUUAAAUAGGGUGCAAACCCUCAGAUUAGGGUUUUGUCCAGUCAGAGCCUACUCGUCGAGUCCGGGACCCGACUCGACGAGUCCAUCACUUAAAUCCCGCGUCUCAUCUCUCUUCUACUCGGCGAGUUAGGACUUCAACUCGCCAAGUCCCAGGCCAAAAAUGCAAAAUUACUUAAAUAAAAUACAUACCAGGAAUCAGGUGCUAAAAAUCUCCCCCACUUAUUUUAGACUUCGUCCUCGAAGUCUGCCACUCGUUCCUGGAAAAGCUCUGGGUAAUGCUUCAUCAUCUCAUCUACCGACUCCCAAGUCCAUUCCGAGCCCUUCCGGUGCUGCCAUUGCACCUUUACCAACUCGACCCUCUUGUUCCUCAGAUCCUUCGACUUCUGGUCGAGAAUCGCUACAGGUCGUUCGACGUAAUUCAGGCUAUCAUCGACUUGAAUAUCCUCUAAUGGUACCACUGUCGAAUCGUCCACCAAACAUUUCCGUAACUGGGAGACAUGAAAAGUGCUAUGAAUUUGACUGAGUUCGGCUGGCAGAUCCAACCUAUAUGCCAUCUUGCCCACCCGGGUUAAGACCCUGAACAGUCCAAUGUACCUAGGGCCCAACUUGCCCUGUUUCCUGAAUCGGAUGAUGCCCUUCCACGAUGACACCUUCAGGAGAACCAUAUCCCCGACCUGAAAAUUCAGGUUAGAUCGGCGCUUGUCGGCAUAACUUUUUUGCCGACUCUGAGCAGUCUGAAGUCUGCUCCGAACUUGAUGAAUCCUCUAUGUCGUCUUGAGCACCACUUCGGUGCUCCCCAUGGCCCUCUGGCUAACCUCACCCCAACAUAUCGGGGUUCUGCACUUCCUCCCGUAUAACAUCUCGAAGGUAGGACGGUUAAUAAUCGCAUGAUAGCUAUUAUUAUACGAGAACUCCGACAACGGAAGGUAGGUAUCCCAGCUACCUCCGAAGUCUAAAACACAUGCCCGCAAAAUAUCCUCUAAUGUCUGGAUGGUCCGCUCACUCUGACCAUCCGUCUGCGGGUGAAAUGCGGUGAUAAAAUGCAGACGAGUACCCAUCUCGUCAUGAAACAUCCUCCAAAACCUGGAAGUGAACCGCACAUCCCUGUCUGAAAUCACCGAUACUGACACCCUGUGCCGUGCCACUACCUCCCUAAUACAGAUGUCGGCCAACUUUUCGGCCGAAAUGCUCUCCUGGAUCGGAAUAAAAUGAGCGCUCUUGGUCAAUCGAUCAACAAUGACCCAAAUCGAAUCCACCCCUCGCGUGGUCCUGGGAAGCUUUGUGAUAAAAUCCAUCAUAAUGUCCUCCCAUUUCCACAGUGGAAUAUCCAACGGCUACAUCCUGCCGUGUGGCCUCUGGUGCUCGACCUUGACCUCCCUGCAGGUCAAACACCACUCCACGUACCAUGCUACAUCCCGCUUCAUGCAGGGCCACAAAGUCCAGGCGAAGAUCCCUAUACAUCUUCGUCGCCCCGGGAUGAAUGGAGAAUUGAUAUUUGUGCGCCUCCUCUAUCAGAACCUGGCGCACACCCCCGUGGUACGGCACCCACACCUUACGGUGUAGUGUCAAUAAUCAUCGGUUGUCAUAGUCGAAGGAGGAAACCUAUCCCACAAUUCGCUUGCUCUUCCGAUGUUCCUCCUUCAAGGCCUCCUGUUGGGCCUCCCGAAUCUGCUCCAAAAGCGGAGUCACCACUGUCAUCCUCAGACAAAUAUCCCUGAUCGGCACCACCUUGUGGAUAAGCACGUCGGCCACCACAUUGGCCUUUCCUGGGUGGUAGAGGAUCUCACAGUCAUAAUCCUUUACCACAUCAAGCCACCGAUGUUGCCUCAUAUUCAAAUUUGGCUGAUCCAUGAGAUACCUCAGGCUCUUGUGGUCUGUUUAAAUCAUCCAACGAACCCCAUAGAGGUAAUGACGCCAAAUCUUGAGGGCGAACACAACAGCCCCCAGCUCCAAAUCAUGCAUCGGGUAGUUCGCCUCGUGAGGCUUCGGCUGCCUCGAAGCAUAAGAAAUGACAUGCCCUCUCUGCAUCAAUAUUGUGCCCAAACCCGAGAUGGACGUGUCACAGUACACGACGAAAUCCUCCAUGCCCUCUGGCAGGGCUAAGAUUGACGCCUCGCAGAAUCUCUGCCUCAAUGUCUCGAAUGCAGCCUACUGCUCAAUCCCCCAACAAAAGACCACGGCCUUCCUCGUUAGCCUGGUCAGGGGUACGGCUAUCUUGGAGAAAUCCUGGAUGAAUCUCUGAUAGUAGCCGUCUAAUCCUAGGAAACUCCAAAUUUCAGAUGGAGACCUCGAAACCUCCUAUCUCAUCAAAGCCUCCACUUUGGCCGGAUCCACCGAAAUGCCGUUCUGGUUGACAAGGUGCCCAAGAAACUGCACCUCGCGCAACCAGAACUCACACUUGGAGAACUUAGCAUACAAUUUCUCCCUUCUCAAAGUCUCCAGAACCUCUCGCAGAUGCUCCUCGUGCUCCUCCUGCGUCUUGGAAUAGACCAAGAUGUCAUCGAUGAAAACUAUCACAGACCGAUCGAGCAUCGGCCUGCACACACGGUUCAUGAGAUCCAUGAACGCGGCAGGAGCGUUGGUGAGCCCGAAAGGCAUCACCACAAACUCAUAGUUGUUAGAUAAGGUGUCUAAGUCCAUAACUAUUUCUGGUAUGUACUUAACCCGACCCGGCAUGGUCCAUUUGGGUUGCAUGGCAUCAUGCAUUUGGAUAAACAAAAUGAGAGAAAUAACACUUGUGGUUUAUUAAUAUAUUAUAAGUUCUAAUAUAUUACUAGUAUUAUUUAAUUAGUAUUGGUCAAGAAUUAAUUUGGAAUUAAUUAAGUGAUCAAAAAAUGACUAAUUAAAUAUAUGGGUUGAUUAUGUAAAUCAUCCAUAACUUGUAUAGUGGGCUAAAAGGCUCCAUGGAUUAUCAAGUUGGGUUAAACCCAUAGGACGCUCCAUGGAUGCUCCAUGGGAGUUACAAACCCAUGGGUCAUGGAAAUGAAGAUUCAUGACACAUUAGGGUUCACAUGGUGUAACCCUAGAUGUGUCACACUAUAUAAGGAACAUGCUAUCUACCAAAAUCGGCUACACUAAGGAAAUAAGAGGCCUAGGCCGAUUUUACAAGUGUGUGCAUUCUCUCAAAAGUCAUUCCAAAGGCAUUUGGUGUUGUGUGAAGCAUUUGAGGCAUCACACUUGGGGUGCUAGGCACAAGGUUUUCAAGGAAUCAAAUCAACUACAAGGUAUGUAAUUCUAGCCAUCCUUUUUGGAUAAAGUUCCCCAUGUAUGCUAGAUAGGAUUAUGAACAUUGGAAAUCAUAUUUUGCAUGUAUUUUAGACAAACAUAGAUCCAAGGCUUUCUAGGGUUCGAUGUACAUUUAGGGGUGUUAGAAUGCUCAAAACCCUUCAGUGGUAUCAGAGCCUAGGCUUGUUUGUGAAUACUUGAUACAAAAUAGUGUUGAAAAUCGUUUUUUUUGCUGUCUGCACAGGGGACUCGACGAGUCCAAGUGAAAAUGCAACCAACUCGGCGAGUCAGUUCGUGCACUCGAUUUGUGCACAGGGGACUCGAUUUGUGCUGUUGGAAAUGGACUAGAAACAUUACCCUAAACUGUUUUGGUGUUAUAAAACUUGUUUUAGAUGGUGUAAUGGUUGUUCUAAUCCAUUUAUAAUGGCUAAUAUCAUUUUUUUCAUGAUUAUAUGUAUUCAUAUGUUCUUGAAAUUUUGAUAUGAAUGUUCAUGUUGUUAUGAGUUCUUGAUAGAUCAUAAGAGUUACUUGUUUAUAUGAUUAAUUCAUGAUCUUUAUGUAUUUUAAUGGAGUCCAUAACUUGUCCUCAAGUUAUGGAUAACCAAAAGUCUCUUUGUGUUAAAAGCCAUUCAAAGAACACAUAAGUUAUAAAAUGAAGAGUCGUCAUUUUAAUGACUCAUAAGUUAUGAAUGUGAAAGGUUUUGUAAAGUUACAAAACUUGCCCUCAAGUUUUGGAACAUGUAAAGUCACUUAAUAAACUUCAGUUCCAACCCUUAAAUUUUAAAAGUUAAAAUUCAACCCUUAUAUUUUAUAAUAUUAUAAGGUAAUAAUAUAUAUAUAUAUAUAUAUAUAUAUNAGAAGUCAUAAGUUACACUUUUGAAGAGUUUUUCUAAUAAAUGUUUUUAUGGACUCCAUAACUUGUCCUCAAGUUAUGGAUUUCCAAGAGACUCUUCAUUAAAAGUUUUAAACACUUAAUUAAAACUCAUAAGUUAUGAAUAUCCAAAAGUUUUUGAAUUGUUCAAAACUUGUCCUCAAGUUUUGGAAUUUGUAAAGUCUCACACAAACUUUAGUUCCAUGCCCUAGAAGUUUUAAAAAAAAUUAAAAUUCAACCUUAUACUAUUAUAAGAUUAAUGGUUUAUAUAUAUAUAUAUAUAUAUAUAUAUAAGAUCAAGUCGUCUUACCGUUAGUACACCUCAUUCACGAAGCCGGUCUAUAAGGAGGGUAUAAGGUUGUUGCCUAUAAAAUGACAACUUAGUGGGUGUCCACUCUCACCCACCGCUUCCUUGAUCGGUGGAGGGUCGUUAGCCGAACGGGUAGGACAAGGACGUAUAAACUUUCAUUAAAAGUAUAAUGAAUAUUAUAAAGUAACUAAAUAUUUUAAUAAAUUCUCAAUCUUAGUUACUUUAGAAAAAGUGUGAAUAAGGUGCUAAUCCAUGAAAUUACACUUUACACUUUGUUUAAGCCAUUGGUGGAGCGUGUGUGGUUAACCGACACACUAACUUGGACUUAACAAGGUAGGUAAAGGGUGACUUAAGGUUUAUGAUAGUAUCGGUGGAGCGUGUGUGGUUAACCGGCACAUCGAUUGAGUGAUGAACUUUAAGGGUACCAAGUGAUUUGCAUGGUUACUUCACACCUCGUUUUGUGAUCCUCGAUAUCACAGUCACCAAACUUGGAGGGCACACUCGAGAUUGAAACAUGCCUUUGAAAAGUUCAUUGAAUCUCAAAAGAAUCUAGGAAUUUCUAAGAACCAAUUAAAAACCUAAUAUUUAUAUUUUGUUUUUUCGUGGUGGAAAUUGGAAGAAGUCACACUCAGCAAACUUCAGGGACUUCUCAAGACCAUAGAAACAGGUCUUAAAGGUAAGUCGGUUGUUAACACUCAUACUCCUACUCCAAACUCCGCCCCUAUCUUGGCAAUUGGGAAAGAUAGAGGGAAGAAGAGGAAGAGGUCUUCGAAGGGUACCAAGGCUAGGACCCUUGAUGGCUAUUCUUCAAGUGGAACCAAGAAAGGUUCUGUCACUCCUUCUUCUGACCCAAAAGAAGCUGAGUGCUUCUAUUGCCAUGAAAAGUCACAAUGAAAGCGGAACUGCCCAAAGUACCAGCAAGAUGUGAAGGAUGGGAAAGUUAAACCCAACCAUGCAGGUAUUUAUACUAUCUUAUCUAAUAACUCACCAUAUUCUAACUCUUGGGUCCCUGAUACCGGUUGCGGUAUUCAUAUAUGUUCUGAUCUGCAGGGACUAAGAAGAAGUGAGAAUGUGGAGCAUGGAAGAAUAAACUUAAUCAUGGGGAAUAGGAAAGCUUUACCUGUCACCAAGAUUGGAGUUUAUACUUUAUCGCUAAGUAGUGGAUUUAGUUUAGAUUUGAAUAAAUGUUGUGACUCGCCAGAAAUGGCAUGAAAUAUUAUUUCCUUUCAUGCAUUGUAUAAACAAGGUUUUACCUUUUCAUUUAAUAAUGAAGUUGGUUCGAUUAAUGCUUUCUUUAAUAAUGUCCUUUAUUUUAAAGCAUUACCUUCUGAUGGUGUGUAUGAAACUGUAUAUGUUGUAGAUAACUUAGGAAAUAAUGUAUUGUGUAUUGAUUCUGUUAAUGAUAAUAACUUCGAUAAAGUAUCAUUAUGACAUUGUCGUCUUGGACAUAUAAGCAAGAAACGCAUAGGCCAACUCCAAAAGGAUGGAGUCUUGGAAUCAUUUGACCUAAAGUCAUAUGAUAGUUGCGAAUCAUGCUUACUUGGAAAAAUGACAAAGUCACCCUUCACAGGUUCUUGUGAGAGGGGUGAAGGUUUGUUGGAUCUAGUACACACGGAUGUGUGUGGACCAUUCAAACAUGCCACAAGGGAUGCUAAUCGUUAUUAUUUGACUUUUACUGAUGAUUACAGUAGAUAUGGAUAUGUCUACUUAAUCAAGCAUAAGUCAGAGACUUUCGAAAGGUUUAAGGAAUUUAAACAGGAAGUCGAGAAUCAAUUGGGCAGGAACAUUAAGAUGCUUCGAUCCAAUCGAGGUGGUGAGUAUCUUAGUUCAGAGUUCCUUGAAUAUCUUAGGGAAUGUAGGAUUGUCUCACAAUUGACACCUCCUAGGACACCAGAGUUGAAUGGUGUGGCUGAGAGGCGUAAUCAAACCUUGUUGGAUAUGGUUCGUUCCAUGAUGAGUCGAGCAUCGCUACCAAUCUCAUUCUGGGGGGUACGCCUUAGAGAUUGCCGCCCAUAUCCUUAAUCUAGUCCCUACAAAGAAAGUUGCCAAAACUCCUCAUGAGAUGUGGACUAGUAAAGUACCAAAACUAGAUCACAUCAAGAUUUGGGGUUGCGAGGCUUUCGUGAGACACAUGACUCAUGAUAAGCUCGAACCUCGAAGUAAGAGGUGUAUUUUCAUCAGCUACCCACAGAAAUCCUUUGGUUACCUCUUCUACAGACCUAGUGAAAAUGUGGUCUUUAUAGCUAGAAUGGCUGUCUUUCGAGAAAGAGAGUUCAUAAGCCCAAGAAACAGUGGGAGGCAAGUUGACCUUGAAGAAAUUAAAAAGUCAAGUGGUGAGGGAACUUCAAUCCCUAACACUCAACUUGAGGAAGAAACUCCUGUUGAGCCAAUUGACAAGUCUGUACCUCUGAGGCAUUCCACGAGAGUUAGGAAUGCACCUGAGCAUUACUAUGGAUUCCAUAUUACUGCGGAAGGUGAAACACUUAUCAGUGAUGAGACACUGAUAGGUCUGGAUGAACCUAACAGUUACCCGGAAGCCAUGGCAGGCCCUGAGUCAGCCAAAUGGAAAGAGGCAAUGGACAGCAAGAUACAGUCCAUGUAUGACAAUCAAGUUUGGAACUUGGUUGACAAUGUACCAAAUCAUAAGACUGUAGGUUGCAAAUGGAUCUUUAAGAAGAAGACCAAGACGGAUGGUAAUGUACACACUUAUAAGGCACGACUGGUUGCAAAGGAUUUCUCUCAAACUCCAGGAGUUGAUUAUGAUGAGACCUUUUCUCUAGUAGCCAAGAUUAAGUCUAUUAGGGUUCUGUUAGCCAUCGCUGCAUUUCAUGAUUAUGAAAUAUGGCAAAUGGAUGUCAAAACCGCUUUCCUUAAUGGAAAGUUGGCUGAGGAUGUUUACAUGAGUCAGCCAGAGGGUUUUGUCAAUACAGAGUAUCCUAAUAUAGUGUGUAAGCUUGAAAAAUCCAUUUAUUGAUUAAAGCAAGCACCUCGUAGAUGGAAUCUUUGCUUUGAUGAGAAAGUCAAAGAGUUUGUCUUUUAUAGAAGCGAAGAUGAAUCUUGUGUAUAUGUCAAGGCUAGUAGGAGUAUAGUUAGCUUUUUGGUAUUGUAUAUGGAUGACAUACUGCUCAUAGGAAAUGACAUUCUAACUCUGCAGGAAGUUAAGUCCUGACUUGGGAAGUGUUUCUUUAUGAAGGACCUAGGAGAAGCUGCCUAUAUUCUAGGGAUAAGGAUCUUGAGUGACCGGAGUAAAAGACUAAUUGGACUUAGUUAGAUUACUUACUUGGAUAAGGUGCUGAAAAGGUUCAACAUGCAGGACUCCAAGUAAGGAGAGUUACCCAUCCAGAGUAACGCUAGAUUGAGUAAGACACAAAGCCCGAGCAUUGAGGCUGAGAUAGCAGAAAUGAGUCGAGUGCCUUAUGCUUUGGCUUAAAGGAUCGAUCAUGUAUGCUAUGACGUGUACUCGACCUGAUGUAGCCUUUGUUUUAAGCAUGGUUAGCAGGUAUCAGGGGAACCCUGGCAAGGCACACUGGACUACGGUAAAGAAUAUCCUCAAGUACCUACGGAGGACUAUGGACUGGGUCCUUACCCUCGGUGGGAGUGAUGACUUGAGAGUUGUAGUGUAUAGUGAUGCUAGCUUUCAGACUGAUAGGGAUAAUUUCCGCUCUCAGUCAGGCUAGGUCUUUACCUUAAACGAAGGAGCAAUUUCUUGGAAGAGUUCCAAGCAAGAAACAAUGGCUGAUUCAACUUGCGAAUCAGAGUAUAUAGCAGCAAGCGAGGCAGAAAAGGAGGCGAUAUGGCUGAAGAAAUUCAUUGGAGACCUUGGAGUUGUGCCAGCUAUAAAGGAGCCAAUGGAAAUUUUCUGUGAUAGUGAAAGUGCAGUUGCCUUAGCCAGGGAACCAAGGGAUCAUGGGAGAUCCAGACACAUUGACAGACAAUAUCAUUUCAUCAGACAUCGAAUAGAAGAAGGACUCCUCAUGGCAAAGAGGGUAUCAUCGGAUGAGAAUCCAACAGAUCCCUUCACGAAGGGACUGACUCGGGUUAAGCAUCUCCAACAUGUUCGGAUCAUAGGGCUGAAGGAUGAUAUUAGUUUUAGUAGUUAGAUAAUCUUGAAAUUCGUAAAGUCUACUUGACAUUUGAUGAUGAAUAAAAGUUGUGUUUAUUUGUGAGUAAAGUGUUCCUAUCUCUUGUCAGUCGUUUACUAUAUUUAUUUUGCAUGUUUUGACUUCCAGAAUAAUUAUGUUUGGUAUAUCAUAUUAUUCGAAUCUCCACAGUCGUUCAUAUGUUGGAAGUAGGUAUGAAUCAAGACUGUUAUGAGACAGUUGCAGAGGUCUAAGUUGUUGGACAUAGCUACAACACUCAUGAGUGUUCAUAAGUUUUGAGCAUUGGACUCAACCCGCGCUCACUGGUAUCACUUCAUGGAAUUUAUCUCGAGUGAUCGUGAGACGGUAACAUCAUAUAAGUCUUUAAACCUAGAGAUAUGAUUUGUUACCUAUGAGUUGGUUAUGCAUUGAUUGUAUGAAAACGCAUUGUUAACUCGAUGUUAUAAAACGUGCUUUUGUGUAUAAUUCAACAAGUAGUAAAGCAAACAUAUGAGUCGAAGUUUAUCUAUUCCUUCUUGGAUUAGAAGCUGAUAUCUAGGCCCAUCGAUGAUUUUGUUUUGACCUAUGUAUCGGGCCCGGUCAUAACUAAGUUGAUGUAUUCAAUUAAGUUCUAUGUCAAACAAAUCGGAAAUCGAGAAACAAAUUGUUGGACAAUAAGUAAGACAUUGUUCCAUGUAUUUCUCUAGCUGAUAUCUAGAACAGAGGAUUAUAUGAUCACUUAUCUUAAAUGGCGUAUCAUCAUCUUCUUAGUUCCGAGAGACCUUGAAACAACUACGAUUGCUGAUCGGUUCCUGAAGUCAUACUUGCAGUUAUAGUUAUCAGACUUAUCCAAGUGGGAGACUGUUGGAUAAGGUGUCUAAGUCCAUAACUAUUUCUGGUAUGUACUUGACCUGACCCGGCAUGGUCCAUUUGGGUUACAUUGCAUCAUGCAUUUGGAUAGACUAAAUGAGAGAAAUAACACUUGUGGUUUAUUAAUAUAUUAUAAGUUCUAAUAUAUUAAUAGUAUUAUUUAAUUAGUAUUGAUCAAGAAUUAAUUUGGAAUUAAUUAAGUGAUCAAAAGAUGACUAAUUAAAUAUAUGGGUUGAUUAUGUAAAUCAUCCAUAACUUGUAUAGUGGGCUAAAAGGCUCCAUGGAUUAUCAAGUUGGGUUAAACCCAUAGGAUGCUCCAUGGGAGUUACGAACCCAUGGGUCAUGGAAAUGAAGAGUCAUGACACAUUAGGGUUCACAUGGUGUAACCCUAGAUGUGUCACACUAUACAAGGAACAUGCUAUCUACCAUAAUCGGCCGAUUUUACAAGUGUGUGCAUUCUCUAAAAAGUCAUUCCAAAGGCAUUUGGUGUUGUGUGAAGCAUUUGAGGCAUCACACUUGGGGUGCUAGGCUCACAUGGUUUUCAAGGAAUCAAAUCAACUACAAGGUAUGUAAUUCUAGCCAUCCUUUUAGGAUAAAGUUCCCCAUGUAUGCUAGAUAGGAUUAUGAACCUUGGAAAUCAUAUUUUGCAUGCAUUUUAGAAAAACAUAGAUCCAAGGUUUUCUAGGGUUGCAUGUACACUUAGGGGUGUUAGAAUGCUCAAAACCCUUCAAUAGUAACCAUAAUGGGUCCGAAAGGCAGUCUUCUGCACGUCCUCCUCUCUAACCCUCAUCUGGUGAUACCCUGAACGCAAAUCAAUCUUGGAGAACCAAGACGCUCCCUGUAGCUGGUCAAAGAGGUCAUCAAUCCUCGGGAGUGGGUAACGGUUCUUCACCGUUACCUUAUUCAGAUCCCGAUAAUCUAUACACGUCCGAUGCGACCCGUCCUUAUUCUUCACAAACAGAAUUGGGGCUCCCCAGGGAGAAUCACUCGGUCUAAUGAAUCCCUUGUCUAACAGCUCCUGUAGCUGUGUAGACAACUCUUGCAUCUCAGGAGGAGCCAACCGAUACCGUGCCUUGGCUAUUAGAGCCGCACCAGGGACUAGGUCGAUCCUGAACUCCACCUAUCGCUCCGGAGGUAUCCCAAGCAACUCCUCGGGGAAUACGUCCACAAACUCUCGUACCACGGGCACAUCGCCCACCGUCGCCCUACCCGCCUCCCGGGUAUCCAUAACAUAGGCGACAUAACCUGUGCAACCCUGCUGGAGGUAGGACCUAGCCCUCGCUGCCGAACAUAAAGCUGGUCCUCAUUGUGGCCUUUCUCCCUAAACCACCAGCUCUCCCCCACUAGGGUUCCUAAUCCGCAUUGACUGUUGUGCGCAGUCACUCAAUGCCCCAUUGAGGCUCAGCCAAUCCAUACCAAUAAUAACCUUGUUCCCCCGCAAAGGUAUGGGAACCAAAUCCACCAGGUAACGUUCCUCGAAGAGCCUCAAAACACAAUCCUGGUAGACCUCUGACGCUCGUACCGACCGGUCGUCCGCAAUCUCAGCCUCUAGAGGGAAAUCCAACCUACCCGAAGACUCCGGAAACUUCUUGCUAAGUGCAAGAGAGACAAACGAUCGAGUGGCACCCGAAUCUAACAAACCCUAAACUGGGAUACCGUUCACAUGGAACGAUCCUAAGCAAGGCACAUAAUAUAUCAAAAUCAUAGCGACAUAACAUAAAAUCAUAAAAAUAAGAAAUCAUACCCAUCACCACAUCGGGUGCAGCACGUGCCUCCUCGGUUGUCAGCUGCAAUGCUCGGCUCCGAACCACUGGAGCCUCCAACUUGGCCUUCCGGACAUCCACAACCCGUGUUGUCACUGGAGUCGGCUCCCCUGCUGCUAUCAAUCUAGGGCAAUUGGCCUUUUUAUGGCCCUUCUGAUUGCAAUGAAAGCAAAUCAAGUCUGAUAUCUGGAUCGCAGGAGUAGGGGCAGUACAAUCUCUGCCAAAAUGCCCAACAUUGCCACAUUUAUAGCAGCCUAAACCCGACCCAGUGCGACAAACUCCCUCGUGUGACCGGCUGCAUUUCGCACAACGGUCCCGCCCUGACUGGCCUUUCGGCCUACCAUCGGAUCCCUUGGGCUUCUUCCUCGAAGCCCCCAUCGUCAGCCCCUCCGCUGCCUUCCUCUUUCGGAUAUGCUCCAGAUCAAUCUCCCUCUCCCUAGCCCUAGCAAUCGUUGAAUCCAAGGUAGGGCAAGCUGAGAAACUGACAUGCUCCCGGAUGUCAAAUCGUAGCAUAUCAUGGUAGCGGGUCCUCUUCAUUUCCUCAUUUCCCGCAUACUAGGGCACCAGCAAUGCCCUCUCCCGGAAGUUGGCGGUGAUCUUCGCCAUAGUCUCCGUAGUCUGCCUCAUGUCCAAGAACUCCCUCGCCAGCUGCUGAAGCUCGACAGCUGGUGCAAACUUCGCCCUGAAUCUGGUCACAAAUUCUGACUAGGUCAUAGCCUCAAUAGUCGAGGCUCCCAGAGAGUUGCCAACCGAAUCCCACCAAUCUCUGGCCCUAUCUCUCAAACACCAUGCAGCGAAACAGACCUUCGACCCUUCCGGGCAUAAGCUCGUCAGUUGCGCAGACUCGAUGUCUGCGAUCCAUCUCUUAGCAACAAUGGGGUCUUUCACCCCCAUGGAAAUUCGACACACCACUCCGUCUGAAGUCCUUAAAGGACACUGUGUGUGAUCCUCACUAGCUGGCCGCCAUGUCACUCCUGAACGCCCUGAGGCGAUCCUCCAUCAGCUCAAUGAUCCCUUCCUUUAUCGACCCGAAAAUAACCGGUGUCACAUCAAGGAUACCUCUCGUGAUCUCGUACACGAUGAACUCGCGUAACCUAUCAUCCACAUGCUCGGAUCCUGCGCCCGAGCCCGGUCCUGACCCAGAUCCUGAACCUCCUACUCCAUGCCGCGUGACCACCAUUCUGAAAAUAAACAUCCGAAUGUCAGGGUUACAUAUACCUUUCGGAGGUAUCGCACACUUUCCAAGUUUCCAGGUUCCAUCUAAGCCCUCCUUGAUUGGAGUACGGGUCCUCUGCUUUUAGUAGUAUGGGUCCAUACUACCUUCCACAUCUACCCAUACUUUCCUCAAGGAUUAAUUUAACUUCACCAAGUCCCUUUUUCCGAUACCCUUUCCACUGACCUCAUCCUAGGCUUCCCUAGGGCACUCUCCGACCUACCCUCAGCCAUCAGCUGCACUAGGAGUCCCCACCAUUCCCCCUAACUAACUUGUAGAUACUAUUACAUAUUCGUUCCUUAGCUAGUUGAAAAUGGCCAGAACCCCCAUCGCAUAAAGCAAGUAGCAUUCGUGCAUUGGGUAACCAAAUCAGGCAUAACCUACAAAGGCCAUCCUACUACUAACUAAACAGACCUAGCAUACAGCUCAUACAACAAGCAUAUAAGGCAUCCUUCCUAGACCCUUAGCCCUAACUAGCAUGCAGUUCUUAGAAUCAAAUAUCAGGCACACAAGGCAUCCUCCUAGAUCCUUAGUCCUAUUUUAGCAUGCAGUUUUCUGAAUCAAAACCAUAUAGCAUAACAUAACAAGUAUGGGUAUCUUGGGGAAACUUACAUGAGCCCGGCUAGUCGCAUGCAUCACAUACUUCGUCUUUCUUAAAAUCCUUCCAUCUAGAUUUUAGAAAACCAUUUCUCUGUCUAAAAAUCUUUUAGGCCCUCGAUUUGAGUCCAGACACCCCCGAGGGUGUGUCCGAAUCCCUCAAACUAGGGUUCUGAUACCAACUUGUAACACCCCAAAAUUCAAGCCCAAAAAUUUCAUAUUUAAAUUAAUAAUUUCUAAAACAUUUUACCAUAACACUGUCAAUAAAGAAACACAUUACAAAAUCAUAAUGUUGUGCCCCAAACCAUGACAUCAAAAAUAAGGAAAAUCAGAGUAGAAUCCUAGAAAGUCCGAUGCGGAAUCAUGUGUGUGUGUGUGUGAUGCGAUGCUACGCCGCCGACUCCUUCCACUUAGAUGAAGAGGUACCUGAAACCAAAACUGAAACCGUAAGCACAAAGCUUAGUGAGUUCCCCCAUCAUACCACAUACCAUACAAUAUCCUCAGUAUCUUUCAACCGAUAACUUCCAUCGGUAUCUUUCAACCGGUAACCGUCGUCGGUAUCUUUUAACCGGUAAUCAUCAUCAGUAUCUUUCAACCGGUAAUCGUCAUCGGUAUCCUUCAACCGGUAACUAUCAUCGGUAUCUUUCAACUGGUAACUGAGGACUAUUCCACCCCCUACCACUAGCAUACCAUAACAAGAUAUAAACAUAUAGUCAGGCAUAUCCGGGUAAUGACCUACCCUGCGGUCCUAAGGACCGCUGUCAGGGAAACUAAUCCCUAUUAAACACAUAGCAUAUCAUUCAGAUUAAACUAAUGACCAAAGCACAUAUCCAGACCAAGAUAAUUAUCACAAAGACAAUCAUCUUCUAAAUACUCCUCUUUGGUGGGCUGGCAUUGUGGCCUUAGACCCACCCCUACUGGAAGGUAACUCACCUCGUACACGUAGCUGCUGAUAAUCUGUGCGGGAAACCUUUGUCUGCUGUUGCUCCGGAAAUCCUCCGGCUAUAAUCCCCACAGAACACUCAGUCAGAAACUGAUAUCUACUCUUAGGGUAAAAUGACUAUUUUACCCCCGACCAAGUCCAAGUCAAAGUCAACUUCCAGUUGACCAGACUCGCCAAGUUGGGCCGUCAACUCGUCGAGUCCCUUUCCUUUAGUCGUCCUUAUCCACGACUCGACUCGUCGAGUUUGGCAGCGACUCGAUGAGUUCCCCUCCUUUACGAACAUUAAUGAAGCUUCAUCUGACUCGCCGAGUCGUUUGAACACUCGUCGAGUUCAUCUUCAAACAUAAGAAGAUUGCCUUGGACUCGCCGAGUCUGUUCUAGCACUCGUCGAGUCCCAUGAACUCCAGGUCUAAAACUAAGUCCAAUGCGUUGGGUUACUCUUUCUGUCCAUCUACAACCCUUCAAGCACCUAACUGAGUCCUUUGACCCUCACAGAUAUGGGACUCAAAGCCUUGGACUCGUCGAGUCCCUAGAAUGGACUCACCGAGUCGAUAACGUCCACACCUUAAAUCCUUGAUUUCUGAUGUACAACACUUUUCCAAAUGAUAGAUCUAAGCCCCUAAGCUCGAUCUAGAACAUAAAGUUAUGAACUUUACAUGCAUGUAUGGGACUUUUGAGCCAAAAAGGCUCUAUAAUGGCUCUUUUGUUGCAUGGGGCCUUCCUUGGGUGCAAAAGCAACCCAAAUCUGCCUUGUGACUCUCUCCAAGUGCUAGAUCUGAAGUCUUGACCCCCAACUAUGUUUUCAAUCAUGGUUGGAUACCUCAUAUGGCUUAAAAAGCCCUAAAUCCUUCCCAGGAAGGGAUCUAACAAACAAGCAAGCAAGGUACAGACUUUAUACCUUUCAAAGAUUGCAAAUGAGGAACCAAACUCGAAUCCUUCAGUAUCCUCUUGAUCCUUCUAUGCUCUUCCUUCUUCCUUGAGGUCAAAAACCUCAAAAAUCACUCAAAAGCCUUAGAUUUUGCACCAAAACACUUAAGGUUUGCUUGGGAGGGCUUCUAGGAGCAUAAAGGGGCGAUGGAGGAUGUAUAAGGUUGUUUAAAUAGGGUGCAAACCCUCAGAUUAGGGUUUUGUCCAGUCAGAUCCUACUCGUCGUGUCCGGGACCCGACUCGACGAGUCCAUCACUUAAAUCCGACGUCUCAUCUCACUUCUACUCGGCGAGUUAGGCCUUCAACACGCCGAGUCCCAGACCAAAAAUGCAAAAUUACUUAAAUCAAAUACAUACCUGGAAUCAGGUGCUACACUACUUUCAUAUAAUUGGUUAACUAUUUUGAUAGUUUAUGUAUAUUUGCUAGGAUACAUUUAUUAUAACAAGUAUUUGGAGACCGUUGCAUGGAACUCUAGUUUUGAGGUUCUUAUAUGAAGAUGUUUUUAUUGUGCAUGAUCAGAUUGGUCAUCACGAUUUUGUAUAUUCUAUUUUAUAGAGGCUUGUUAGUUAAACUUUAAGUUUUGUUUUUAAUCUUAUAUGGUAAAACCAUUAGGUGAUACUUAAGGUUUCAGAUCAUGGUUGCUUAUUUGUCAGUAACAAAUGAGUUGUUUGUUAGAUUUGGAGCAACAUGGAUUUGUUAUGUUGAUGCAUUAUCCUUAGUGAAUGUUUGCGUUUCACAUUUAUUUUGGAUACUUAAGGAUUACACUUGAUAGGAGUAUUUCAUAUUUGCUAGUGUUUGUUGCUCAACUUAAGAAUGGAAACAUCCAUAUAAAUUUUAAACCUAUUCUGUUUUCUAUGUAGAAAGAAAAAAAUUUGUCAUUGAAGAAUGUUCAUCCAAAGUAUUUUCACCAAACAGUUUGAAAGUUGUCCAAUUUGGUUCAACCAUAUGAUACCAAAAGGUAUUUGUCCACAAAGCAUUUGGUUGAAAGAUAUUUAGGUUAAAAGACAUUUGAGGUAGAUAUGGUUAAAGUUUAAUUUUUUUACAUUCAUAAUGUAUGUCAUUUGUGUCGCUCCAAAUAUUUUAGGAUAAAGAGGGAUAAAGAGAAAGUAUUUUCCAGGGAUAGUUAUUCAUGCUAUGUAAUGUUUGAACAUAACUUAUUAUAGUUUGGAUCUUAUUUUAAACUUUAGGUUGUGGGUAUUUUGGUAUCAAAGUGAAUUAUUGUAAUUGAAAGUUGCAAGGAUAAAGAAGGAAGACGUCAGGUGUCAUGUCACUCUGUUACAUUUGCAUAACCCUCGACCACAGUGGAUAGACUUUGGACCUGAAGGUCAUGUAACCUCAUCGAAGUUGCAUAUGUCAUGAGUUUUGUAUGGCCUCGUUAUGAUGGGUUCUAAUGUUGUUUAUUUGCAUUGUGAUUGGCUUUAUGACAUGUUCAUGAUGACCUCUAAAACAUAUAUAAGAUUUUGGGCACUUUGAACACCCUCCGCAUCUAGUGUCGAUUUUGCAAUUUACAAUCAAGGGUUUAAAUCGAACCUCUAACAUCCAAUUAUCCUAAUAUUGGCUCCCCUCCAGUCCCGAUUCUCCAUAGCGAUCAAUUUUGAUGAUUAUGUAUUUAUUUCUUCAUUUUAUUAUUUUAAUUUGUAAGUGGGUUUUAAUUCUUGUUUAUUUGUUAAUUGAAAAUACAAGUCGUCAUUCCUAUAGAUGUAUACAAUUUUCUUAAUGAUGAAACCAUCCUAAAUAUUGGAGUCUCAUAUUCUUAGUUGUUUGUCAUUUAUAUUUUAUAUAUCUUAGCAUGUGUUGUUCUAUUUAUUAAACAUUUUUUCCUAUUUUUGCAUCCUUCAUCGCUAUCUGUUAUGUUUAUUGGAUUUUACCCUUGUUUUCUCACAUCAUAAAAUCCCCAACAUAUUAGUAAUACAAAUGUAUAUAAUUGGAAAACAAGAUUAUUCAUUGUUAGAGUUUUUGGGAUGAAGGGUUGGUUCUGUAACAUCCCAAAAACACGGUCCAAAAUUUUCAUUUUUAAUUAUUAAAUAAAGUCAUAGUUAUCAAACCAUUCCAUCAAAACAUGACUCAAAGUAUUUCAAAACAUUAUUAUAAGAGUUUCCAAAUCAAAACAUCAGAGUAAACAUCACAGGCUAGACAUUAUGGUGUGUGCAAUGUAGUCAUCCCGAGCUCUUUUCUUUGCAAUUGGAAGUACCUGAAACCAAAACUGAAAACCGUAAGGACGAACCUUAGUGAGUUCCUCAUACUACGACAUACCAUACACAUAAUCAUAUAUACUGGGCCCCCGCCCCUACAUCAGGCCCCUCCCGACAUCGGACAGUGUCCGACAUCUGGCCCCGCCAGACAUCGAGUCCCACUCGAUAUACAAAUCUGUUUCUCCCAGGCCCCGCUUGUCAUUGGGCCCUGCCCGCUAUACAUAUACAAACAAUAUCAUAUAAUCUUGCUAGAAUAUAAAGAAUCAUACACAGUACUACAUGUUCCAGUCCUAAGGCCUCACCUAUCAUGAGCCCCGUCCCUACUCUGCCAAUGAUGAGAUAUGGAACCCCGUCCACACUCAGUUAGUGAUGAGAUAUGGGACCCCGCCCACACUCACCUCCCGUACCACCUGGCAUCGAACCGUAGUCCGGAAACAUACUUGGGGUGAAAUGAGCGUUUCACCCCUGGCCCAACAAGAUUCAUAACCAAGGCAUAAAACUAUCAAAUCCAUAAAAACCCAUCAAUGGCCCAAUUUUCCAAUUUGGGCCCAAACCCUUACAUGGGCCUUUCCCUAAAGCCUAUUUACUUUUCUGAACUAAUGAUUUUCCGAUGGCCCGAAGGUCCAAGCUCAUUCCACCUAAUCAAGGCCUAACUACAUUAGGCCCAUUAAGGCCCAAUUCAUCAUCCAAGGCCCAUUAGGGCAAGCCCAGCAAGCAAGCCUAACCAGAAGUCCAUUACUCUAAAAUACUUAGUCCAUUAUGAGCCCAAACCAAAGGAUAAGUCCAAUACCCAGCUAGCCAACAACCAAAGAGCCCAAAAGGUGCACAGAUGAUGCUCACGUUGUGAUCACCUUAUGCUCACGUCGUGAGGUCGUGACUUUAGCCUAGAAACUUCCUCGAACACGCUCUCAUGUUAUGAGGCUUCAUUCCUCACAUCGUGAGUCCAGAUCUGACCAAAAAUGAGCAUUAAGCUCCUAAUCCAUUAAGCAUUAACAUGGGAUAGUCUAGAGGGUCUUCCUUGACCCCAAGGACCAUAAAAAUCGAAGCUUUUCAGUCACAUAUGUCUAAUACAUGACUUACACCAACUUAGGUCAAAAUGAAGGAAAAAGGGCCAAGACUCAAACUUGGAGUCCAAAACCAUGACCAAAGUCCAGAUCUAGAACUUAUAGGACUUAAGGUACCAACAUAAUCCAUAAACUUGCCAACUUUAUGGAUUCCAUGCAUGCUAACCAACAUUACAAGCCAUAAAAUGCAUGGAAACAUAGAUCUAGCAAGCAAGGAAAGGAAAUGCAUGAGCUUGAGGACUUACAAAGGUCCAAAAGCUCCUCAACUAGCUGAUGAUGAAGCCAAGAUGCUAACAAACGCACCACCAAUGAUCUUCUUCUUCCUCAAAGGGCUUCAAAGCUUCAAAAUCUCUUGAAUAAUACCACGAAUGAACAACGACUUCAAUGGGGGAUGAGAUUAGGGUUUCCAGAGGUCUUGGGAGUGAAAGAGGCGAGGAGAAGAACUUCAUGCUCACGUCGUGAGCCUUAAAUGAGCUUGGUCAACAAGUCAACGAUCACUCACCCGAACUACUCCAACUUCAAACGACCAUAACUUCUUCGUUUCAACUAUGUUUUUAACGUUCUUUAUAUCCACAGAAAGGUGACGAAAAGCUCUACACGUCUAUAAAAUUAUCCUCACCUCAAAACCUUUCGAACGAAAAUCCAAAAUUCAUAAAGAGCUCGAACUGCCACUUUACCAAUAUACCCCUUAGCUCCAAGGCACAACCCAAACUCUCGGAUCACCUCAAUUACAUUAUCCGUACCUAAAUGGGUCUAGAUCUCUCUAUUGCCAAAGACCCUAAGCCUUAUGAUAACCCAUAUUCAAGUCAUAUUCCCAAAUUAGGAAAGCGAUUCGAAACAGGGUGUUACAGGUUCUGAUUCAAGGGGUAUUUGGAUCUACAUGAAGGAUCGUGUGAUCAAUUUCCAAAUAUAAUAUUUCGAUCCAUUGGAUGGGUAUCACAAAAUCCAAAUUAUGGGGAUAAUUAUUUAAGGAACAACUUUUUAUCAACACCCUAAUAAAGAAUUACGAAUUAUGGAAUUUCAUAGAAUUAAAAUACUUCUCGCUACCAAAAAUAAAAUCAAAAUCAACAGGAAAUGAUUUUUUUUUUCUAUAAGUUAAAGAUGUCGGUUUCAAAGAACUUAUUAAAAAAUAUAAUCUAAAAUCAACAUUUCUAAUAAUACAUUCCUUCGUAAAAUUAAUUUUCAGGCAAUGACACUACCCCGCACCAAGUAAGGAGCCCAUUUUGAACCUUGAGAUGACGAGAUCCUCGCUAGAGAUCUACUUUUAACACUCUACUUGGUAUGUAACCCCUUUAACCCCACUAUUUGAUUGUAUUGACAUGAAACUCAUUUUACACGAUUAUGCAUUCCAAAUGUCCUACUUUAUAGAUAAAAUCAAUAGUUCAAUUUUAUUAAAAAUCUUUAGAUUUCAUUGUACAAAAAUAAUAAUAUGACAUUAGAAUAAUCAGAAUUAAUAAAAUGAGAAAUAACAGGGUGUAAACCAUACGCGUAAAAAAGAUGAAGGAGCGGUUUUGUAAUCGACCAAAAUAGAAUUAUUAUCGGAAAUUGGUAUCGGAUCCGUUAUGUGUCUUUUUCCUAUUAUUAAGGAGCAUAUUUUAAUGUUCUAUUUAUAUGUGGUGAGAAAAACACGCUGAGGACAUAUCGGUACUUGCAACUCACCGACACUUCUCUUUGAAGGACUAGANNNNNNNNNNNNNNNNNNNNNNNNNNNNNNNNNNNNNNNNNNNNNNNNNNNNNNNNNNNNNNNNNNNCGGAAAUUAUAAAAGAAUAUACAUGUGUUUUCGAACAAAACAUGUUUCUUAAACAAUGCUAAUUAUUAACUUAAUAUAUACACAAAAACAUAGUUUUUUUUUUUUUUAAUUUUUAAAGACCUAUUUUUAUCGAAAAAUAAUUUUUAAUAUAUCAGAAUUCAUAACUUUUUAUUCUCUAUAAACAGACAUCCAUACUGUUAUAGUUUUAAAAUAAAUUAUUUUUUUUAUAGUUUCAACUAUCGUUAUUCAUAAGUGAAUAAAAAUGUAUCUGAUUUUUACUAUAGUACAUUCGUUAUUCAUUUAUGAAUAAAAAAAUAUGAUUAAUUUUUUUUUUUUACAGUUUAAGUAUCAUUUAUACUACUUAUUCAUAUAUAAAUAACAAAUUAACUGUAACAAAAAUCUAAUAAAUGUUCUAUUCAUAUAUUAAUAUAAAAUAUGACGUAACUAAUACAUAUUUAAUUCAUAUAUAUAUAUAUAAUAUAUGAUGAAAGACGAUGUAAAAAUAUAUUUUAAGUAAGAAAACUUUAUUACAUGUUAUAUUCAUAUAUUAACGAUACUCAAACUAUAAAAAAGUUAAGCAUACGUUUUAUUUAUAAUUGAAUAAAGAAUGUACUGUAAUAAAAAUCUGAUGAAUUUUUAUUCACUUACGUAUAAAGAGAGCUGAAACUUUAAAAAAAAAUAUUUUAAAACUAUAUAAUAUGGAUGUCUAUUUAUAGAGAAUAAAAAAUUAUGAAUUUUGAUAUAUUUAAAAUAAUUUUCGAUAAAAAUAGAUUUCUAAAAAAAACAUAUUCAUUUAAUUUUCAUAAAAACAUCAAUGUUUAAAAUUCCAAUCCAUGUGAUACAAAAUCCCAAGAUCACAUAUCAUAAAAAUCCCAUGUGUGUGUANACUCGAGGCUAUAACUUUGUGGGUCCGUAGACCCUACUAUGUGAACCCUCUGGUUCUAACUCUAGGAACCUUCCGGUUCCAACUCUAUAAACAUGCACAACAUAAAUCACAUAGAAAUAAUGCAGUACAACACAUAACAUACAUAUAGCAUACAAAUACUCUGUCACAUAACUCUGAUUACCUACUCAAGGUAAAGUAUAGUGAGAAGACUCACCUCGCGUAUCUCGAUCACUCGCAAAUCCCGGAAAUCACUCGCGCUCGAUCCUCCGAGCUAUAAUCCUCCUAUAACACAAUAUAUCUCUAAUUAACACAUUCUCAACUAAGGUUGACUACCCCUAUCAAGUCAACACUGGUCAACUCUGGUCAACGGUCAACGACCACUUUGACCGGACUCGGCGAGUGCACUAGAGCGACUCGGCGAGUCUAAACGUGUUCACUGACUCCCUAGGAUCCUCUUUUGACACGUCGAGUACUUCCCUGACUCGACGAGUUCCACCUGGCAUGAAUCGCGGGGCCACCACGACUCAACUCGCCGAGUCUCAAGAACAACUCGGCGAGUUCCAGCUCGACUCAGUCCACCUGUCAACCCUCUCUAACUCUCCCUGACUCACUGAGUCAACCCUUAACUCGGCAAGACCACUCGCUGAGUGGUUAAGGACAAUCUUCAUGCUACUCGCCGAGUCUGUUCUUCGGACUCGGCGAGUCCAUGCCAUGCAUCAACUCAAUCUCGCUUCUGAGGUCAGAUCCGCUCCAACAACUCAUAGAUCUGGCCCUCCCAAGCACAUUCAUCACGUAAAGUCACAAUCUUGGCUACCAUGCAACGCCUACAAGGCUUCUUUUGAUGAAAUGACAUCUAAAAUGGUAACCUAAGUCUCCAACUCAAAAGGAAAGGCAUAAAGCAUGGCAUUUGGGACUCUCUGGACCUACUAAGGUCCAGAUCUAGGUACCAUUUCCCCAUGGGACCUCUCACACUCCAAAUACAAGGCAAACAAGGCAUGAAGAAACCCUAGAUUUGACCAUAUCAAGAAAAACACGAGAAUAAGCUCUGAAUGUUACCUCAAAUAGCUUCUUCUGCCGAAAUGGGAGUAGAUCCAAGCUCCCCAACUCUCCUAGUUUGGCCUUCCUCUUCCUUUCUUGCAAAUACACACAAAAAUGAUGAAUAAUGGCCUCUUAUCUCACUCACAAGAACUCUCAGCUGCUCUGGUGCUCUCAAGGUCGAAGGUAGCCGCAAUGAAGGGCCAUAAGGUCCUUUAAAUAGGGCUCAGGACCGGGAAAUUAGGGUUUCAUUAAACAGCGCGGACUCGCCGAGUCCAGGCGCGAACCCGCGUCCAAAACCGCGAUCCUACUCGGCGAGUUUGAGCUCCAACUCGCCGAGUCCCCUCACAAAACACCAAAGAUAUAUGAAUAAAUAAUACCUGGGAAUCCGGGCUGUUACAAUUCUCCCCCACUAGAACUAGACUUCGCCCUCGAAGUCUCGCUCUGCAAAUAACUCUGGAUGCUGCUCACGCAUCUCACGCUCCGGUUCCCAAGUCAUCUCGGACCCCUUCCGAUGUUGCCACUGAACCAAAACCAAGGGUACCUCCUUGUUCCUCAGAACCUUGAUUUUCCGAUCUCUGAUGGCCACUGGUCUCUCAGCAUAAUUCAGGCUCGCAUCCACCUGAAUAUCCUCUAAUGGAACCACUGCCGACUCAUCGGCUAUACACUUCCUCAGCUGCGACACAUGAAAAGUGUCGUGAAUCUGCCCCAACUCUGCUGGCAAAUCCAAACGAUAGGCUACCCGGCCUACCCUCGCGAUCACUCGGAAAGGACCAAUAUAUCGGGGCCCCAACUUGCCCCUCUUCCUGAAUCGAAUCACUCCUUUCCAAGGAGAGACCUUCAGGAGUACAAGGUCGCCGACCUGAAACUCAAGCUCGGACCGGCGUCUGUCUGCAUAACUCUUCUGUCGGCUCUGAGCGGUCAACAACCUCUGUCUGACCUGCUGGAUCUGCUCUGUCGUCUGAAGCACGAUCUCUGUACUGCCCGUCACCCGCUGUCCAACCUCUCCCCAACAAAUGGGGGUCCGACACCUCCUCCCAUACAACAGCUCAAAGGGCGGCAUACCAAUGCUCGAAUGAUGGCUGUUGUUGUAGGAAAACUCUGCCAAUGGCAAAUAUGCAUCCAAGCUACCCCAGAAAUCCAACACACAUGCCCGGAGCAUGUUCUCGAGCGUCUAAAUCGUCCGCUCACUCUGACCGUCUGUCUGGGGAUGAUAUGCGGUACUAAAAUGCAGUCUAGUACCCAACUCCUCAUGAAACUUCUUCCAGAAUCUGGAAGUGAAGCGCACAUCACGGUCUGAAACAAUCGAGAUCGGCACCCCAUGCCGAGAUACCACUUCCCUCACAUACACCUCCGCCAAUUUCUCUGCUGNGCUUCCACACUAUUGGGGCUAAGCUCUUAAAGCUUGAAGACAUCAAGCUACAUCAAGAGGUAUGUAUUCUAUCUUGUUACAUUCAUAGUUUUUGUAUGCUAGAUUAGGAUAAUACCUUGGAUGUUCUUAUUUGCAUGUAUAAUAGAGAAAACAUAGAUCCAAGGUAUUUAGGGUUGCAUGUACACUUAGGAAGUGUUAGAAUGCUCAAAACCCAACACUUACCAGGUCUUCAGCCAAUCUGGACCACUCUCAAAACCUUCAACCAAUCUGGACCGCCCUACAGGGCCUUCAGUGUGGAUGGAUCGUUACCCGAGCCUUCGGCCUGACUGGUACGCCUACCGGCCUUCAGUCUAUCCGGACCGCUCGACUAGCAUCCAUCAUCCCGAGUUAUCUCUCUGGGAAAAUAGAAACCAAACCAACAACCCGCACUUUCUUCUGCAUCUCAGGUUGCACAACCUUCGCCUGUGCCCCACGAAUGGCGUCCAACACUGGAGCUACAACGGUCAAUCUCAAACAUACAUCCCGCAUCGGGGUGCUCUCCGCCCUGCUGCUCAGUGCAUCGGCUACAACAUUAGCCUUGCCCGGGUAGUACAUGAUCUCACAAUCAUAAUCCUUGACCACAUCCAACCACCUCCUCUGUCGCAUAUUUAGGUUGGGCUGAUCCAUCAAAUACUUCAAACUCUUAUGGUCCGUGUAUAUCGUACACCGAACCCCAUACAAGUAGUGACGCCAAAUCUUGAGGGCGAACACCACUGCCCCCAACUCUAGAUCAUGGGUGGGAUAUCUCGUCUCAUGAGGCUUCAGCUGCCUCGAUGCAUAUGCUAUCACAUGCCCUCUCUGCAUCAGCACCGCUCCCAACCCCAAAAUCGAUGCAUCACAGUAUACCACAAAGUCCUCCAUCCCUUCCGGGAGGGCUAACACCGGGGCUUCGCACAACCUUUGGCGAAGUGUCUCAAAGGAGGCCUGCUGCUCGGGGCCCCAUGAAAAAGCAACACCCUUCCGGGUCAAUCUGGUGAGUGGCACUGCGAUCUUAGAGAAAUCCUUGAUAAACCUCCGAUAAUACCCUGCCAACCCUAGGAAACUCCUGAUCUCGGAGGGUGACUUCGGCACCUCCCAACUCAUCACCGCCUCAACCUUGGCCGGAUCGACCAAUAUCCCUUCCUGGUUAACGAGAUGUCCUAAGAACUGGACCUCCCACAACCAGAAGUCACACUUGGAGAAUUUGGAUAAAGCCUCUCCGAUCUCAGAACUCUGAGAACCUCCUUCAAAUGCUCCUCAUGCUGCUCUCUAGAUCUCGAAUAUACCAGAAUGUCGUCGAUAAAUACAAUCACCGACCGAUCCAGCAUCGGCCUGCACACUCGGUUCAUGAGAUCCAUGAACACUGCCGGGGCAUUGGUGAGCCCGAAAGGCAUCACCACAAACUCAUAAUGCCCAUAACGCGUCCUGAACGCUGUCUUCUGGACGUCCUCAUCCCGCACCCUCACCUGAUGAUAUCCAGACCUCAAAUCGAUCUUGGAGAACCAAGAUGCUCCCUGCAACUGAUCGAAUAAAUCGUCGAUCCUCGGCAACGGGUAACGGUUCUUGACCGUCAGCUUGUUCAACUCCCGGUAAUCAAUGCACAUCCGGUGUGAACCAUCCUUCUUCUUGACGAACAGGAUAGGUGCUCCCCACGGCGAGCUGCUCGGCCGAAUAAACCCCUUCCCCAGCAGCUCCUGAAGCUGCGAGGAUAACUCUUGCAUCUCUGGAGGUGCAAGGCGAUAAGGCACCUUGGCGAUAGGCGCGGCCCCUGGAACCAAAUCGAUACUGAACUCCACUUGCCUCACAGGAGGCACACCCGACAACUCCUCGGGAAAUACAUCCGGGAACUCACGCACCACCGGAACCUCCUCAACUGAACUCGGCCUCUCGGAAUCCACCCGCGUAUCCAUCACAUACGCCACAAAACCCUUACAGCCCUGCUGUAGACACUGCCUCGCCCUAGCGGCCGAACAAAACGCUGAUCCUGAACGUGUACCCUCGCCGUACACCGAAAGAACUCCCCCACUAGGGUCUCGUAUGGUCACCAGCUGUCGCUCGCAGUCGAUAACCGCACCGAAUCUGCUCAACCAGUCCAUGCCCACAAUGACACAGACAUCACCCAUCGCAAUAGGAACCAGAUCAAUCGGGAACUCAACACCGAAAAUCUCGACUACGCACCCUCGGAGAACCUCCGUGGCAUAUAUCACCCUCUCAUCAGCUAUGGAAACUCUCAGAGGCCGACUCAACGCCUCACGACUAACACUGAUAUGCUGACUAAAAGCCAAAGAUACAAAAGACCGACUCGCACCCGAGUCAAAUAACACCAAGGCAGGUACAGAAUUCACAAGAAAAGUACCUACGCAUAACAUAACAUAAGCAUAAUAUCUCAACAUCAAAAUAAAUACAUGAAAGAAUACAUACCAGCCACGACAUCGGGCGCUGCGCGGACCUCCUCCGCGGUCAGCUGAAAGGCUCUCCCUCGUGCCCUCGGCGCCUCGGCCUUCACUGGCCGACUCUCGGUAGCUCUGAUGGCGGCAGGGGCAGAUCCCUGAGGUGCUCCCUGAGAUGACCCUCGCAACUGCGGACACUCUGCCUUCCGGUGUCCGGUCUGAUUGCAGUGGAAGCACACUGCAAACCCCUUGGGGCAAUCCUUGGCCAUAUGCCCCUCCUUGCCACAUUUGUAGCAAGAUCCCGCUCUGCAGACUCCAUCGUGACCCUUGCCACACUUCCCACAAGUGCGGCCCUUCUGGCUCCCUGGUUUGGGAUCAGCGGGCUUGGCCCGCUUGGCUGCCGGCUGAGACUGUGCCGGUCGCCGAUCCCUCCCCUGAGACUCCGCCUCCUCCCUGGCCUGAGUCUCUAGCUCAAUCUCCCUCUUCCAGGCAUUUGCCUGAAGCUCGGAAAAUGUCCGGUAUGAAGAGUUCGCCGCGAACUCUCGAAUGUCUCUCCUCAAAAUACUCAGAUAUUGGCUCAUGCGUGCCUGCUCAGUGGACACAUGCUCAGGGCAGAACAUCACCCUCUCAUGGAAUAUCCUGGUAAUCGCCAUAACAGACUCAGUACCCUGCUUGAGGGUCAGAAACUCAUGGGCCAAACGCUCCCUCUCCACCUGGGGAACGUACUCAUCUCGGAACAUGGCAGUGACCCUCUCCCAGGUCACUACCGCAAGCUCAACAGGCGUAAAGUGCGCCGUCACAAACUUCCACCAGUCCUUCGCUCCUAAGCGAAGCUGGUUCAACACGAACCGNUCAAAUGCUCAGGAGAUGAGCAAGUGAAGAAACACCCCUCUAUGUCAGAAAUCCAUCUCAUAGCCGCCACCGGGUCCUGGGUCCCAUCAAACUCUGGCGGUUUUGUGUUGCUGAACUCUCGGAGCAGCAACACAUCACCACUCUGCAGCCUCGCGGCAGCAAUAGCUGCGGUGACCGCUGCAACAACAGCCUCAGAAAGAGCGGCAUAACGCUCGUCAAAGGUCUCGAUCAGCAUGGUCUUAAUAGACCCGAACAUCUCUGGUAUCUCUACCCUGAUGGCCGUAGCCACCUCCUCAUGGAUGAUCCGGCGGAUCUCCUCAUCACUGGUCUCACUGCUCUCAGGCAUCAGACGUGUCCUCACCAUGAUCUACCUCUGAAAUACAACAUACGAUAAAUUAGAAUCCAUUCGAGCAUACUCAUACUCGACAACUCAUCCCUCCUUGAUCCUUGGUAUUCCAAAGAUUCCUACUUGGGCUGUACACCGCUCCGGUGCUUUCAGUAGUACGGGCCCAAUACUACUGUCCGCACCAUAUCAGAAUACACCCCAAGUCCUCCUCUUCGGAUCCCAAAUUCCAAGUACUCUAUCAUGCAUAGACCACUCUCUAAUAGAUCUCUCAUAAGCCCCUCGCUGCUACCUACUCACUCUCAAGCAUCUCAUAGCAGCUCACCUCUCCCUAGGCUAAGGCAUCACAAAUUAGGCCACUCUAGUCCUAAUAGGAGUACCUAGCCUACUCUAGCAUGAGAAUACAUCAUAUCAAUAUCAAUAUCACAUAACAUGAGGGUAUUUUGGGAAAUCACCGUUCGGGCGCGGACUGAUCGUACACACAACUCUGCUCUACGUUUUUCCAAAAAUCUUUUACUCUUUUUGUAAAUACCUUUCAAAUCCUCAGUUUGAGUUCAAAUACGCCCGAAGGUGUACUCGAAUCCCUCAAACCAAGGCUCUGAUACCAACGUGUAACACCGUGAAUUUCAAAAUAAUU